CCUCAUGAAAGAGGCGCCACCAUGGUCGGAGCUCAACCUUUGGUCGAGAGCUACAAUGUGCCGAUAUUCUGCAAGGAUGUCCCGACCGUGAGAAGAAUCACCCGGAGGGUAACUGGACGGAGCGGAGGGCUCCCUUCAGUACAGGCACUUGCGCUUUUCCAUGGCGACAAUUGCACGGAGAUCGCAUGCUUUUUGCUGGAUCCAGACCACGUCGGCGCCGAUCGGGUUCAAUGGCUGGUGGAGCAGAUUGCAGAAGAGCAAGGGCUUGAAGUUGACAAGGGCUAUUUCACCGACCUGUCAAAGCAUAUGAUGCUAGAAAGGUACUCCGAGAUGGUUUCUGCAGCUGACUGACCUGUUGAAUUUCGUGCCGACACUCUUGUAAUCAUGCAUGCCUGCACUUCCAUGUAUGCUGCUGUUUAAACUGUGGCACCAACUUGGACUCCGGACCGACCAAUUCCGAAAUUUUGUAUAUACUUAGUUAUAUCUGCACUAGAGGUGGUUCUCUGGAAACUUCGCCGCAGUAAUUGGCGCAUAACAGGUCUCAUCACUGAAUGAGAAUGUUGUUUUCAGUAAUUAAAGUCUGGCAACUUGGCAAGGCAGUAUUCCUUAAUGCCAACUGACAAAAUGCUUUUCGGGGGUGGAGGGGGUGGGGGGCACACAUUUUUGCGUAGAAUUUUGGAACAGAAAAGAUUAGAGGGUAAAAAUUAUUAUAUAAAUAUAUGUGAAAAUAUGAAUAAUUUAAGUUAUUUUGUCUCAGUUUGUACCAUGCACUACAAUAUAUUUAGAAUGCUGCUGUAGGAGGGGGCACUUCAAAGUUCAAAUAGCCAUCAAAUAUCUUUGUGUAAGUCAGCUUGCAGGAGAUUUACAAGUCCUUUUGCAGAUUCCAUAAGAUUGAAGGAAGAUAAGGAAAACAUUAAAAAGAUGGUGAGUAAAAAUUAUGGACAAUGAAGCAAAGUAGGGAAAUGAGCGAGUACUGGAUUCAGCAUUUGGACAGUAGCAUAAAUCUAUAAUCUUGGGUACCAUAUGGUAGGGAAGACCGGAGGCGGAGGAAAGAACCAUCAUGCUUUAGAUAGACCUUUUGCGGCAGCAUGUACCUGUCAAAUGGGUAAUCAAGCAUCCUCACGUGAUCAUCUAAAUUCACAUAAUGAGCAAUUGUGGCAGUUGUACUAGCAACAUCAACAGCAAUGGACAAAAACCGCACUAAGAAUCUACGGAUGAAAAGGAAGGGCAUAUCAAAAACUCCAAAGUUUCUUAAAGAUAGACCAUGUAAGUAGAUUCAAUAUCUUUAUCGGGAAAAAGAUGUAGAUUCAAUUACUGAGAAAAGAAUAAUACAAAUAAAUGAGCGAUUAACUUCAAUGUUGGAGGUGGAGGCGGAGUGCGCGCCACUGGAGGCCAAUGGCGUCCGUGCGCCAGGCGGCGGUGAGGAGCACGGCAAGGCAGACAGAGUGACCGCGAAAGGAAAGGCCCCAAAACGCGCGGUGGGCUGGCAGCCGGCCCACGAAUGGUUUUCUGGUUCCUUUUUUAUUUCCGAUUAAAAAUAUAUUUAAUGUAAAAAAUAUUUUAUUUUUUAGAAAUUUUGAGAUAUUCAUAUAUCAAUUAAUUUUACUUUUUAAAAAUAUNNNNNNNNNNNNNNNNNNNNNNNNNNNNNNNNNNNNNNNNNNNNNNNNNNNNNNNNNNNNNNNNNNNNNNNNNNNNNNNNNNNNNNNNNNNNNNNNNNNNNNNNNNNNNNNNNNNNNNNNNNNNNNNNNNNNNNNNNNNNNNNNNNNNNNNNNNNNNNNNNNNNNNNNNNNNNNNNNNNNNNNNNNNNNNNNNNNNNNNNNNNNNNNNNNNNNNNNNNNNNNNNNNNNNNNNNNNNNNNNNNNNNNNNNNNNNNNNNNNNNNNNNNNNNNNNNNNNNNNNNNNNNNNNNNNNNNNNNNNNNNNNNNNNNNNNNNNNNNNNNNNNNNNNNNNNNNNNNNNNAAAAGAACCAGAGAAGAAUGCCCAAGAAAACAUAACAAACUGAUCUUCAGCUCGUGUCUAGUGGUCCACCGAAGAAUUGGAGAUUCCACACGAGAGCUCACGAGACACAGGUUUUUUUUAGAAAGGUCGCACUUCAUUAUUUGAAGUUUACAAAAAUUGGACAUAAUGGGUCAUGGGGCUGGCCUAGCCAAAUAUGACGCCCGUGAUCGAAUGAAUGAGAGAAUUUAGCUAGCAAAUGUGCUUCAUAAUUUGGUGUUCUUCUCUACUUCUCUACUAUUAUUAAACAAGAAAGCAUAUUCAUGGCUAACUCCACCCAUUUUAGGCUACACAUAACAACACAGAGAAAUUAUAGCCCCUCGAUCAGAUCACUUCAUUUGAUCUAACCAUUCAGAUUACACUAACCCUCAGUUAAAACUGCGUUUAGCAAUUAACGGUGGUGGACGAUACUCUGUCGAGCGAAGGAAAUUUACCACGCCACGCUCAGUUCGCAAAGAAAUAAAACUAUCUCGAUCUGGAUCAUGUUUGUCCAUCAUUUUCCACGUGACACCCCAACCGCACCGCCUCCCCACGCGAGGGUGUCGGACCUGCACUUCCUCGGGCUCCACCGCGACAACCACUGCGGAUCCAUCUGGAUCUAGGUGAAGCGGAGAACGUAUCGCUGUCAGGUACAUGGCCUCCUCACUAGGGUUUCAAAAAUUGGGUGGCGGCCGAGGAGGCGAGACUCUCCGGGAGGGACGAUGGAAGGCAACCGGGAGGGGACGCGCAUAACGACCCGGAAAACAUCCGCCCUCACCCGCUUGGCGAAGGACAGGGCAAUAGCUGCUUCCGGGAUGUGAUGAUCCCUCUGCCCCGUUCGCCUCCUCACCACCCCAACGCUCGCCAUCACAGGGUUGCCCCCCUCAUGCUUGGCCCUCAACUCUGCCAACAGGGAGGUAAAUAGGAUUUGUGAGUUCCUUUUUUGUUUUUGUUGAUUGUAAUGUUAAAUAUGGCUCCUGAUUGAAUACAGACUUUAUUACUAGACAAGAGACUAGAUCAAAAGUGAUUGUUCUCAGUAAUCUUCAAGGAAUUAGCACAAGGGAAGAAAAACUUAUUUGUCCACGUCAGCGAGACGCCGUCAAAAGUGACCGUUGACAUUUUGUAUAUAUCUUUUGCCACCGAAUACAGGAGUCACCUCGGUUCACAUGACCGAUCAUCAAAUCAUCACGAACGAGCUCUAGUAACCGAAAAGAAAAACCAGCGGCAGAGCAGAUGGCUACAUGAGCAUAUCAACGUGGAAAACGAUGGCUCAUUUCAGAUCACAAAUGCUUUUCUAAGGCCAUGUUUGCUUUAGCUUUUAUCGACGGAUUCCGCUGCCACGCAGCAGAAUCUGAACCAAAGGGCGAACCCAGCAGAAUUCGAUUCCAGAAAUCCGCUGCCAAAAUCUGAAUUAAAAGUGGAAGCAGCCCAGGACGUGCUUUCCAAAAUUUGAUUCCGCUUCGGGCCAAAAUCUAAAAAAGCUGUAUCAGCUGGUUUGCCAAAUGACCUACAUAUUUUUCACAUCAGAUUUUCCAUAACUGUUUUUUUCACAGCUGUUUUUUCACAGCUGCUUUUAGAAAUCCACAGCCGAACGCCUAAGAUCCACGUGACCGCCGCUUACGGCCGCACAGUCCUAUCCAGAGAGCAGUGUACCCAUCGAUACAGGUCAGAUGUUUGUCCCGUUUCCCAUCAGCGACCUAUCUCACUUUGCCUCCUCAUGAUCAGGACGACGUACGCCGCUGAUCAGAGUCACGGAUUGCUCUUCUCGAGACGUCAGAGCAUGCAGAGCCCUCCGGACGAAAUAUCUUGGAUCGGUUACGAAAUUGAUACACAGAAUGCAACCUGCAAAGCAGCAAUUCGACCAUAUAUAUAUUUCUUUUAUUUUUAACAGAGAUAUUUCAUUUAUUUAGCAACAGCGUACAUGUACAAUUGUGCAGUUAAGCACAGUAGAAAGAGCAGCUACAACUGCAUUGAGGCAGGCUUCAUUGCCUACUCCUAAGCAUCUGAACCUGUAAGGUGUAUUCUGAAUUUUGAGAGCAAGCUUGGCAUGAUGAUGAGCACGAAAAUUAUAGCCUCUGUUUUUUUCCCGAAAAGGUGGCCUCUGUUAAUGUGGUAGAGCCUUGUGAUAUCAAACGCCGAGGAACCUGUAAUAUGUGCGAGCUGAGGUCUGAUUGUCCAAUGACCUGGAUCUGAGAUGAGGUCUUGAGAAACUACAGCUGACGCCAAUGUCGCACAGUCUGUUAGGAAAGUGGCAUGUUGAAGAUGGAGUAGCUGCGCAAUCUGGGAAGCAAGCAUCAUGCUGAAUGCUUCAGCCUUCAGCCUGGAUGGCCGACGCCAGUGGUGGCCAAGUGGCUGAUAUGCACAGCUGAGAGCAGCUUCUAUCACCUGCAAACUGGAUAAAAACUCCUAUUCCUGCAAUUGCCGGUCCCCCUUUAGGUCCUAGAGUCCAGGAAGCAUCUGAAAAUACUAUGGGACCUGUAAUGUUGGUCAGAUCCAUGAUUGUUUUUCCUGGAGAUGGCAGCACACUGUGAGUAAGAACAGCUCCUCUUUGCCCAGAUGCGUCCACAGCCUUAUUCCCCUUCAAGUUUGGCCAGCUAGUUGCGCUGCUAGCCUGAGACGUAUUUGUUGCCUCCAAAUUUGCACCUUGCAUGAUUGCUGCUGCCGCUGCAUGUACCUGAGGAGUGUGGAAUUUCCUGCAAAAACGUGCGUCGUUCCGAAAUUUCCAAAUGCACCACAGAAAAGUAUAAAGUGAUGUUAUAUUUAUUUGUGGGUGAUUGGAAGUAAUCAAAGCUUCGAUCAUAUUUGGAACUGAGUGAUUGUGAUGGGCUAAUAAUUCAUAUACCAAGCUGCUUUAGCAAAAGGACAUAAAAGGAAGAGAUGCAUUUCAUUUCCAAGAUUUCCACAAGUAGAACAACUUUCACUGAUAUACUUAGAAUACUUACCUGCCCUUUACCUGUAGCUAGUGCGUUGCGAUGAAACCUCCAUGCAAAAGUCUGGUAUCAGUCCAGCUAUUCGACUGUAGGAGGCCCGAUCUCCUUUAUCUUAAGAGGGAUAGUGCAGGACGGCCAUGAGCACACCACACACACUCAGGUCCAACAAGGUUCAGUUAUUUGGCAAAAUAUAUGGACAUUUCAAGAUGCAGAGAGCUAUCAUGCCAUUAAUUCCAGUCCCUUCUCGUGACGGUUUUCAACGAACAACGUGGACAAUGACAUUGCACUGGCCAACUAGAUGUGGUUACCAAACAAGAUUUCAUUAUCCAAAACCAAAAGUGAUGAAGUACAGUGAGAGACAAGGUUUGUGAGUGAUGAAUCAAGAGAUUCAACGGUGACAAGGUUCCGUGUGCAUAAGAAAAAUGGUUUUCCAGAGGCCGGUGGCAUGCUGCUGUGGUGGAACCAAAGAUAAUUAUGCAAGUAUAUGUAGGGGGGUGCUGAGUCAUAAAGCUGAUCGAAGAGCACAUGCUCCGUCCUUGCUCUCAUGGUUGGGGCUCACUCAGAGACGAACAAGACAAGGACAAAAAGGUUUCUUGCAAGCAACUUUUUGAUUCAUAAGAAGGCAUUGCUCUACCACUCCACUCCAUUCCCCACCGGCGAGAGAGACUCAGAUUGAGGUAGAGCGGAAGGCAUGGAGGGCAAGCGCACCGACCAGGUAUGUUCUGGUACCCAGACCCCCCCUCCAGUUCCUCAAGAUUUGAACCAGGAUUUUUAGUUUAGAUAGAAGCUAGAACAGACAGAGUGCGAAAAACUUGAGUUAUUCAGCCAUAUAUGAACUUUCUAAAUUCUAAUUCCUGUUUCUUGUGGUCACAUGAAAAGAAAAUCUGCUGAGAUUCUCAUACAGAUGCUAAAACUAGCUGAUUUCUGCUGUCUCUGGAUCGAUUGCGCAAUCAGAUACAUGUUCUAGAUACUACUCCCUCCAUCCCAUAAUAUAAGAGUGUUUUUGACACUAGUGUAGUGUCAAAAACGCUUUUUUAUUAUGGGACAGAGGGAGUAGGAAUUAAGCCAUCCAGUACUAUAUCAAAGUAAAAAGAACAAGAAAUUUCAAUUUAUCCUCACCUGAAUCCCUGCCCUGUUCAAUUUAUACCAAAGUACAAGAUGGCGAAGAAGGCCGCAAAGCGAGCUGUUGGUGAAGCAAGGGGUCGGGCAUAUGAGGACCUCUACCAACGGUUAGGCACGAAGGAAGGUGAAAGGGACAUCUAUAAGAUGGCUAAGAUCCGGGAGAGGAAGACGAGGGAUAUUGGCCAAGUCAAAUGCAUCAAGGACGGAGCAGGCCAACUCUUGGUGAAGGACGAAGAGAUUAAGCAUAGAUGGCGGGAGUACUUCGACAAGCUGUUCAAUGGGGAGAAUGAGAGUUCUACCAUUGAACUGAAUGACUCCUUUGAUGAGACCAGCAUGCGUUUUGUGCGGCGCGUCCAGGAGUCUGAGGUGAAGGAGGCUUUAAAAAGGAUGAAAGGAGGCAAGGCGAUGGGCCCUGAUUGUAUCCCCAUUGAGGUGUGGAAAGGUCUCGGGGACAUAGCGAUAGUAUGGCUAACCAAGCUUCUCAACCUCAUUUUUCGGGCAAACAAGAUGCCAGAAGAAUGGAGACGGAGUAUUUUAGUACCAAUCUUCAAGAACAAGGGGGAUGUUCAGAGUUGUACUAAUUACCGUGGAAUUAAGCUGAUGAGCCAUACAAUGAAGCUAUGGGAGAGAGUCAUUGAGCACCGCUUAAGAAGAAUGACAAGCGUGACCAAAAAUCAGUUUGGUUUCAUGCCUGGGAGGUCGACCAUGGAAGCCAUUUUCUUGGUACGACAACUUAUGGAGAGAUAUAGGGAGCAUAAGAAGGACUUGCAUAUGGUGUUCAUUGACUUGGAGAAGGCCUAUGAUAAGAUACCGCGGAAUGUCAUGUGGUGGGCCUUGGAGAAACACAAAGUCCCAGCAAAGUACAUUACCCUCAUCAAGGACAUGUACAAUAAUGUUGUGACAAGUGUUCGAACAAGUGAUGUCGACACCGAUGACUUCCCGAUUAAGAUAGGACUGCAUCAGGGGUCAGCUUUGAGCCCUUAUCUUUUUGCAUUGGUGAUGGAUGAGGUCACAAGGGGUAUACAAGGAGAUAUCCCAUGGUGUAUGCUCUUUGCGGAUGAUGUGGUGCUAGUUGACGAUAGUCGGACAGGGGUAAAUAGGAAGUUAGAGUUAUGGAGACAAACCUUGGAAUCGAAAGGGUUUAGGCUUAGUAGAACUAAAACCGAGUACAUGAUGUGCGGUUUCAGUACUACUAGCUGUGAGGAGGAGGAGGUUAGCCUUGAUGGCCAGGUGGUACCUCGGAAGGACACCUUUCGGUAUUUGGGAUCAAUGUUGCAGGAGGAUGGGGGUAUUGAUGAAGAUGUGAACCAUCGAAUCAAAGCCGGAUGGAUGAAGUGGCGCCAAGCUUCUGGCAUUCUCUGUGACAAGAGAGAGCCACAAAAGCUAAAAGGCAAGUUCUACAGGACGGCGGUUCGACCCGCAAUGUUGUAUGGCGCGGAGUGUUGGCCGACUAAAAGGCGACAUGUUCAACAGUUAGGUGUGGCGGAGAUGCGUAUGUUGAGAUGGAUGUGUGGCCACACGAGGAAGGAUCGAGUCCGGAAUGAUGAUAUACGAGAUAGAGUUGGGGUAGCACCAAUUGAGGAGAAGCUUGUCCAACAUCGUUUGAGAUGGUUUGGGCAUAUUCAGCGCAGGCCUCCAGAAGCUCCAGUGCAUAGCGGACGGCUAAAGCGUGCGGAGAAUGUCAAGAGAGGGCGGGGUCGACCGAUUUUGACAUGGGAGGAGUCCGUUAAGAGAGACCUGAAGGAUUGGAGUAUCGACAAAGAGCUAGCUAUGGACAGGGGUGCGUGGAAGCUUGCUAUCCAUGUGCCAGAGCCAUGAGUUGGUUGCGAGAUCUUAUGGGUUUCAUCUCUAGCCUAUCCCAACUUGUUUGGGGAGUAAAGGCUUUGUUGUUGUUGUUGUUGUUGAAUCCCUGCCCUGUUCAUCUGCUCCAAAGGCAAAGCUCAGCACGAUGCACCCAAAGGUUAUCUGCUGCAAGCUCUACAUCUCUGAAAGCCAAAAUGGGGCUGUUGUCGAUUCCAUCAGCCGCAUAGGCCAGAAAGACCCUGAGGUGGUUUUGCUCAGCAAGUUCGAGGACGAGUACUACAACCGUGUCCGCUACACGCUCGUCUCCUACAUCACCAGCGAAAGCUCAACCGGUGAAGCUGUAUUUAGCCCAAUCAGGAAGGUGUUGCUGGCGAUGAUCGAGGCUGCAUUUUCAGCCAUAAAUCUCGAAGUGCACAGUGGAACUCAUCCAAGGAUUGGUGUCGUCGAUGACAUGUCGUUCCAUCCCCUGAGUCAAGCAGCCACCAUGGAGGAUGCUGCACAGCUGGCUAAGCUGGUGGCCUCUGACAUUGGAAAUGGCUUGCAAGGUAGUGUUCUUCACCAAGAUUUUCUUCUGUCAGUAACAAAUGAGAUGAUACACUGUAUACAUAUUCUGACCCUCUUCCCUCCCUGUUCAUAAUGCAGUUCCGGUGUUCCUCUACGCGGCAGCACACCCCACCAGCAAGAGCGUCAGUGCAAUACGGCGUGAGCUCGGCUACUACCGACCAAAUCACAAGGGUGUCCAAUGGGCAGGCCAGGUGCUCCCUGAUACUCUACCAGUGAAGCCGGAUGUGGGCCCAGCUCAGGUUUCUCGUGAGAGAGGAGCCACCAUGGUCGGAGCUAAACCUUUCGUCGAGAGCUACAAUGUGCCAAUAUUCUGCAAGGAUCUCCCGACCGUGAGAAGGAUCACCCAAAGGGUGACCGGACGGAGCGGAGGGUUCCCGACGGUGCAGGCGCUUGCUCUCUUCCAUGGAGACAAUUGCAUGGAGAUCGCGUGCCUGCUGGACCCAGAUCAUGUCGGAGCCGAUCAGGUUCAGUGGCUGGUGGAGCAGAUUGCAGAAGAGCAAGGGCUUGAGGUCGACAAGGGUUACUUCACCGACCUGUCCAAGGACAUGAUGCUGGAAAGGUACUUCGAGAUUGUUUCUGCAGCAGAUUGACAUGUGCAUAAUUUUCUUAUUGUGAUCAGACAUGUCUGAACUUCCGUGUAUGCUGCUGUUUAAACUGUGGCACCAACUGGACCCCAGACCGACCAAUUCCAACAUUUUGUAUAUACUUAAUAAAAUUUGCAGUGAAGAUGGUCUAUGGAAACUUCACCACAGUAAUUGGCGCAUAACAGGUCUCACUGAAUGAGAACGUUGUUUUCAGUAAUUAAAAUCUGGCAACUUGGCAAGGCAGCAUUCCUUAAUGCCAACUGACAAAAUACUUUUUUGGGGGUGGGGGCACACAUUUUUUUCGUAGAAAUUUGGAACAGAAAAGAUUAGAGGGCAAAAGAUUAAUAUAUAAAUAUAUGUGAAAAUAUGAAUAUUUUAAUUUAUGCUGUCUCAGUUUGUACCGUGCACUACAAUAUAUACUAUUUAGAAUACAGCUAUAGAAGGGGGCACUUCAAAGUUCAAAUAGCAGUCAAGUAUCUUUGUGUAAGUCAGCUUGCAGGAGAUUUACAAAUCCUUUUGCAGAUUCCAUGAGAUUGAAGGAAGAUAAGGAAAACAUUAAAAAGAUGAUGAGAGAAAAUUAUGGACUAUGAAGAUAGGCAACUGAACGAGUUGGGUACCAUAUAUGGUAGGAAAGACGGGAGGAGGAGGAAAGAACCGUCACACUUUAGAUAGACCUUUUGCAGCAGCAUGUACCUGUCAAAUGGGUAAUUGAGCAUUCUCACAUGAUCAUCUAAAUUCACAUAAUGAGCAAUUGUGGCAGUUCCACUAGCGACAUCAACAGCAAUGGCAGCACUAGAUUCAACAAAUACCCCACUAGAAAUCUAAGCAUGAAAAAGAAUGGCGUGUCUAAAACUCCAAAGUUUCUGAAGAUAGACCAGGUAAGAAGAUAGAUUCAAUAUCUUUACCGGAAAGAAAGUAGAUUCAAUAUACUGAGAAAGGAAUAAUACAAAUAUAUGGGCGAUUAAUUGUUAUAGCUGCUAAUCAAUGUUCAAUGUUGGAAUAACAGGCCAUAAAAAAACACUUGGACUAUAAGCCAGCAAGCAGUACUCUUGCAUUGUUCAGUGUUCAUGUACCACAUUCUUCUACAUUUUAGUUGAAAUUCGAGGCAAUGUCAGCACGGAUUUGUGCUUGCAACUAACAAGCAGGACGACAAACAAUCUAGCAUCAACCCCAUACUCCAAAGUAGCUAACUGAUUUUGCGGGUUGUGAUCUGGGAGGAAGCCCAUCAGAUCUCGAACCCAACAGGGCAUUUGGAUCCAAGCAUCAGACGAACUGACCAGAACUUGGAUACAAAAAGAGACGGUGCUUGGAUUUACCAGCAGAUUGGAACCGCGCGUGGCAUGGGGAGGCGCUUCUCUUCCCCUGUUCGGCAUCGCCGGUAAACCUAGGAUAUGGCGGUCGCCAAAUCAGUAAAGAAUGAACAGCAAGACAGUGUGUGGCAUCAGAUUGAAACGGGGCUCAGGUUGAAACCGAGCUGGAAGAGAGUAGAGACAGAAGCUCCCCUCGCUCCUCGGCACACGCUCGGCUGUUUUUUUUAUGGGAAGUGCCAGGUGAGCCAGGGCGCUUCCGCCGCUGGUGGAGGUGUAGGCGGAGGCGGAGUGCGUGCCGCUGGAGGUCAGCGGCAUGCCCAAUGGCCGACGGCGUCCGUGCGCCGAACGGCGGCGAGGAGCACGGGAAGGCAGACAGAGUUUUUUUUUAGGCUAGAAGGCAGACAGAGUGCGCACCGCGAAAGGGAAGGCCCCAAAACGCGCGGUGGGCCGGCGGCCGGCCCACAUAGCGUUUCUGCACCUCCGGGAACGUGGUGGGACGAAUGGUUUUCUGGUUCCGUUUCUUUUAUUUCCAAUAAAUGUUAUAUUUAAAUGAAAAAAAUAUUUAACAAGUUCAGGAAUUUUGAGAUAUCCAUAUAGAAAUAAAUUUUAAUUUUUUUAAAAAAAAUCGCGGUAUUUUGAAAAUGCUCAUGAAUUUUUAAAAGUUCGCGGUAUUUUGAAAAUGCUCGUGAAUUUUUAAAAGUGAAAGAAGAAAAAAAAGAUAAGAAAAACAUAAAGUAGAAACCCCCAAAACCUAGAGAAAAAUGUUCUUCAGCUCGCGUCUAGUGGUCCGGCAAAGAAUUGGAGAUUCCACACAAGAGGUUACGAGAGUCGCUCUUUUUGUUUUUUUAGAAAGGCCACACUUUAUUAUUCAAAAUCUACAAAAAUUAUGAAGCAUAAUGGGUCAUGGGGCUGGCCAGCCAAAUAUGGCGUCCCUGACCUAAUGAAUGAGAGAAUUUUGCUAGCAAAUAUGCUUCAUAAUUUGAUGCUCUUCCUCAAAACGGAACAUGCAAUUGUGCUCUAUGCUCUUUGCUUGAUCUUAGCUAUGAUUUGGCCAUAGUUCCCACAGCUCCCCUUGGGAAUGUCAUCCGAAGCUUGUUUCAAGUCUGUAGCAAUCAAUAUAUUGUGGAGGAGAAGAAGAUCAUAUGCAAGGCACAAACUUCCUACAUGCAAUCGCUUCUAGGGAUGCGCACAGCACAUCGCUUGGCUCGCAAAACUACACGGUGGCAACACAAAUUAAUUGUGCCAAUUAAACCAAGCAUCAUCUAUGCAUGAUUCAUCAACUUACUCAAAGCAUGAAGUUGGUUUCUAUCAGCAGCGCUCCCUAAACUCUUCAAUCAAGUAUGUAGUAAGACAAAGUAAUCAGUACUUGUGCAAGAUAAUUGUCGACACACGAACACGUCACGUGUACUCUCAACGCCGGGGGUGAUGCACCAUAGCUCACGUCGAAGGAGAUUCGACCGACAGCGCGAUACGCAAGACAGUCGGCGGGCGCUUUUGUAGACCCAAAGCCCCGCUUACCCGAGAGGGACCCCGUCAGGGCUCGCGGCGGCUAUGGGCUGCUCCAGGUCGAUUCGCUCGUUCCUAGAGCCUCGUGGAUCCACGGCUCUUCAGCAUGAAGAACUAGCGAAGAACGAAAAGAAAGAUACAAGGGAGAGAUAAAAAGUAGAUGAACACGAAAAAGUAGUAGAUGUGUUUGUUCGAUUGUGUGUGGUUUCAAUCGGCCGUCACCCCUAACAUAUAUAAGAGGCGGCUGGACUUCCCGUACAAGCAAAUGAUCCAUCUAGGCUUUCCUUCCAAGAAAAUUGGAUCAAUUCACGUCCUACAGUUCUAGUUUUAGUCCAACUCAGAUUCAGCCCGAAUCUGUCCCAUAUUUGUGUCCUGCUUCUUGCGUGGGCCGUAGAAAUCGCAUACUAACUCGCAUGGAGUCGAGUUCAACAUCAAACUUGUCCGCCUCGAUGAUCUGCAUAAGACAUCACAGGCCACUUCUCCUUUUACGGCCAUCUUUAUGAUUUCCAGGGCCUAUCUUUAAAUAUGGGUCGAAUUCAAUUAUGCAGUUUUCUGAACUGUUCGAGUCUUGUAAUAAUUCUGCAGGCCAUAUACUAUCUCCGAUGAUGAUGACUCCAAAAGCAAAGUUUACCGUUUAGAUAAUACGCACAACUUCCGGGUAGAACACGUUUCCAUACGAGGCCAUAUGAAUAAACUUUCGAGCCCAUCUCCAACUUCUGGUCGGAUUGACUUUGACAGUCUCCACCACGGCAAGCUUUCCAUCCCAGCAAGCUUUCCACACUGACAAGGUUUUUAACCCGGCAAGCUUUCAUCCCGGCAAGGUUUCCACCCCAGCAAGGUUUCUAUCCCGAUAAGGUUUCUACCCCGGCAAGCUUUCACGCCGGCAAGGUUUCCACCUCGGCAAGGUUUCUACCCCGGCAAGCUUUCACACCAGCAAGCUUCCACGCCGGCAAGGUCUCCACCCCAACAAGCUCUCCACGCCGGCAAGGUCUCCAUCCCGGCAAGCUUCAUUCAACCGGCAAAGUCCGAAUAACUCACGCGACCCAUCAGACACCACCUAGGUGGGUGUCUGGUCCCUCGUGUCACUUUUUCACCCAGGACCGGUCCGCGAAGUGUUGCCUAUAACUUUUUGUAAGUGCAUCUAGUGCCACCCCUAGUUGGUUUUGGAGUAUUGACGACAAACCUAGUUGAGGGACUAAUGUGUUUGUGAGAAUUGCAGGAUAACACAGGUAGAAGUCCCUCAUUGAUUCGGUUUUCCUACCAGAGAUGACCCCUAAAAAUGUAAGAAGACUUGAAGUCAAAGGUGGUAUGUGAAGACAUUCACAUUGAAGACUAUGACAAGAGAAGACAUCGCAUGAAGACUAUGGAGCACGAAGACUUAGUUCUUUCGUCGUUCUUUUUCUUCUUUGUUGAGUCAUAGGAACCACCGUACUGUUAAGUGGGGUCCAAGUGAACCAGUCAGAAUGACUGAAGUGAUGCUUAACCAAAAUCCUAUGUCUUCGAGUGAAGACUAUGAGAGCAAAUCUUGUCCAGAGUUGAAUAAGUCAGCUUUGCUUGUAGCUCAAAUAAAGUUGCCGUGUGUGUUUGAAAUUUGACUGUUGGAACACGUGUCAGUUCCUUAGUGACCAAGGGUCAUUUCGGACAAAUCAGGUCAGGUUGCCUAGUGGCUAUAAAUAGCCCACCCCCUACAACCAUAAACGGUUGGCUGCUCAGAGUUAGUACACGGCUUUUGUCGUUUGAGAGCAACCCACCUCGAAGCCUUUGAGAGAGAAUUCCUUGCGAGGAUAAAGCCCUAAACACCCAAAGCCAAAGAGUGUUAGGCAUCACUGAAGUUUUCCUGUCUGUGUGAUCUGAAGACUUAUUACACUUGAGGACUGUGAAUCCUCCAGCCGGUUAGGCGUCGCAUUCUGAGCAUCCAAGAGUCAUUGUGGAUCGCCGGUGAACGAAGUCUGUGAAGGUUUGGAAGUCUACCUUGAAGACUUACCAGAGUGAUUGGGCGAGGUCUGUGUGACCUUAGCUCAAGGGGAAUACGGUGAGGACUGAGUGUCCUGAGCUGCGUGUUCAGGACUGGGUGUCCGGGACUGUGUGUCCUCAGGUUUAAAUACCUAGCCGCCCUAACCAGACGUACAACUGUCACCGCAGUUGGAACUGGUCUACCAAACUUUUGUCUUCACCAAGCUCACUGGUUCUAUCCUUCCCAUCUCUUUCUUUAUAGUUGGUCCUUGUGAAGUCAUUGCCUAUUUGCAUUGUCCAUUUGUCUUCACUGUGUGACUGUUUGUUCAGAUUGGUUUCAUAUUAUCUUCCAUCCUGAUCCGUACUGCCUAGCUGCUGUUAGUCUUUGUGCUUUCACUUCAUUGAAUACUUGACUAUGGUUUGUCUAGGGCAGUCUACCUUCCGCUGCAUGGUUAUAUGUUUAUUUCUAUCGUUUGUCUUCAAAAACCCCAUGUUUUGAAGACUUUCAUAAAAAUCGCCUAUUCACCCCCCCUCUAGUCGAUAUAACGCACUUUCAAUUGGUAUCAGAGCAAGGUACUCCCUUGUUCUGUGUGAUUUUGGUUUAACCGCCUGGAGUUUUAGUUAUGUCGACCACAGGAAUGAAGACUGUGUCAUGCCCCAUCUUUGACGGUCAUGAGUAUCCCAAGUGGAAGGCCAUGAUGAAGAAGCGUCUCAUGGUGAUGAACAACGAGCUGUGGACCGUCACUGAGAUUGGUCUGACCGAUCUGUGCAAGAUGGCGGAAGCUGAUGACAUUCGCAAGUACACUCUUCUCAAUCUCACGGCGAAGGACGUCAUCUGCUCCUGUCUGUCUCAAAAUCAGUUCAGGAAUAUCAUGCAUCUCUAUCAUGCGAAGCUUAUCUGGGACCGUCUCUCUGAGGUCUAUGAAGGUCAUCGAACUCAUCAUGAUCCUUGGUUUGAGGACUUUAAGGAAUCUCUCAAAGCGAUGGCAUUCGAACCAGAAUCAUCAUCUUCUGCAUCAUGCCUUAUGGCAAAAGAUGCUAAGGUAACUGAAUGCUAUCUAUCUGAAUCCAGUGAUGAUGAAUCUAGUGAUGAAUUUGGACCCAGCUAUGCAAAACUUGCUUCCCUUGCCACUAAACAACAGAAAGCUAUGGAACAUAUUCAAAAACUGUUAGACAAAAGCGAUGACCUGUUGGACGCUGAAAUGACUCGAUCUCAGUCCUUAAUUGAAGACAUAAAAAAUCUUUAUGUUAAGUAUGAGGAACUUGAAAGUCAUCAUGAAACGCUCUCAACAACUCAUGAAAAGCUUUCCUAUGAUUAUCUUCAAAGGAAGCAAGAACUCGAGAAAUUGAGAGCGGCUCAUGAUGAUCUUCAAAAGGAAAACGAGUCACUUCACGCUAAACAGAUCAGUCCCGCUCAGGAAGGAUUUGAACCACCAUGUAUUAAAUGCCUUGAGCGUGAUAACACUACUUCUGUUGCUGAAUGUUCUAUUGCUGCUACUGUUGCAAUAUCUUCAAUUGUUGAUGUGGUAACUAACCCCUCUGCUGAGGAUGCCAUUGCUAUUGCUGAUGAGAAUGCUAGGUUGAAGACAUUGCUUGAAACAGGGAUGUUUAAAAGUCUCAAAGGGCAUCAGACACUAUGUGAUGUCCUCAAAAGGCAGAUCCUGAACCGAAACCCUAGGAAAGAGGGUAUUGGGUUCGAAAGGAAAAUGAAUGCUGAUGGCUCUUACUGGAAACAUGAGCAGUACCCCAGAACCACAUGGGUUGCUGCAAAGGAACCUUCAGCGGAUCCAUCCACCAUAUCUGGCUUCACUUGUGCUAAUCCCACUAUUAUUGAUGAAUCCUUUGAUGCAAACUAUAAACUGUUUAAGAAUCAGAAUGGUGAAGUGUUUGCCGGGUAUAUUGGUACUAACUGCAGGAAUGGGCUGCCUAUGAAGAAAGUCUGGGUGCCGAAAAGAUGUUUGGAGAAUCUUCCUGUGAAUGUCGUCAUGACACCACACAUGAAGAAGACAAACCCCAUACCACAGGCUUCAUACGGUCCAAAGGCUUCAUACAGACAGAGGACUCACCUGAGUCGCACUAACGCAAAUGUUUUGCAGGGAAACCUUACUCAGGCCUAUGAAUAUGAGCGUGUUUCAUCAAACCGCCAUGUUCAUAAGACCAAGAACUACUCUGCUUAUUCUUAUGAGUACUAUUGUCCACCUGCAAGACUUUUUGCUAGGGCUCCAAAGCCAAAGUUCUCAUAUGUUGUACUUAGACUCAGUGCUUCGAAGCCACCCUUGAAGAUGUGGGUGGCUAAGAAAGCUUAACUCUCUUUUGCAGGGAAAGGUCUCUAGCCGAAAACCAAAAUCGUCUAAAGCUAUUGCUGGGGACCUUGAACAUCUUGUAGGGCGCAAGAUCAAAUGCCCAAAUGGUCUUAUUAUGUAUUUUGUUCCUGAGUUGCUUGCUACUUGCCCUAUCAGUCCUAACCUUGAUCUAAGCUUUCAUAAUCCACUUGCUCAUCAAAUGUUUAUGCUUCACAAUUCUCUUCGUGAAGCCUAUCCCCCUAACUGCACUGUAGGGUACGACACCAGCUGCUUCAGGAUGGAUUAUUGAUAGUGGGUGUACUAAUCACAUGACUGGCAAGCAAAGUCUUCUUAUGGACUCAACCUUACGUCCAUCUGACAAAAGUCACAUCACAUUUGCUGACACUGCAAAAGCUUCAGAAUGCUGGCUCUGGCAUCGGAGGCUAGGGCAUGCUAGCAUGAGGAACUUGCACACUCUUGCAAGAAAGAAGCAUGUCAUAGGCAUCGAGGGCGUCAAGUUCAAGAAGGAUCACUUAUGCGGUGCAUGUGAAGCAGGAAAGAUGACGAGGGCCAAGCAUCUCUCGAAGACAAUCAUGACAACGACUCAACCCUUCGAACUGCUCCACAUGGAUCUUUUCGGUCCCACUCAUUACUCAACUCUUACUACUACUGCUUGUCUCUAUGGCUUUGUCAUUGUUGACGAUUAUUCAAGAUAUACUUGAGUGCAUAUAAUCCUCUACAAGACUGAAGUGCAGGAUGUCUUCAGACGCUUCGCCAAUCGAGCAAUGAACAACUAUGGCAUCAGGAUAAAGCACAUCAAAAGUGACAAUGGCACUGAAUUCAAGAACACUGGCCUAGAUACAUAUCUUGAUACUUUGGGCAUCACACAUGAAUUCUCAGCUCCGUACACGCCAUAGCAGAAUGGCGUCGUCGAACGUAAGAACAGAACACUUAUUGAGAUGGCUCGGACGAUGCUUGAUGAAUACAAGACUCCAAGAAAAUUCUGGCAUGAAGCCAUUGAUACUGCAUGCCAUAUCAUCAACCGUGUUUAUCUUCACAAGCUUCUGAACAAGACAUCCUAUGAGCUCCUUACUGGCAAGAAGCCAAAUGUCAGUUACUUCAGAGUAUUUGGUGCCAGGUGCUGGAUCAAGGAUCCACAUCACACUUCAAAAUUUGCACCAAAAGCACAUGAAGGUUUUAUGCUUGGAUAUGGAAAGGAUUCGCACUCCUAUAGAGUCUUUAACCUCUUUCACUAUAAAGUGGUUGAAACUGUGGAUGCGCGGUUCGAUGAGACUAAUGGCUUGCAAAGAGAGCACCUGCCAAAUGUGCUAGAUGAAGUUCCAUCCAGUGAAUCAAUCAAACUUAUGGGAACUGGAGAAAUCAUACCUUUUGAAGCUCAGCCUGAAGAGGAACUUAUCAUCUCCACACCUGAUCAACCUGAAGACAAUGAUCAACCUGAAGACAAUGCUCAGCCUGAAGACAAUCCUUCUAACGAUGACAGUGAUCAGCAAGAGCAAAAUCUUCGUCCUGUACAUCCUCGUGUUGCAAAUGAAGUACAUAUUGAGAGAAUAAUUGAUAUCAUCAAUGCACCAGGUCCACUCACUCGUUCAAGGGCAACACAGCUAGCAAAUUUUUGUGGGCACUUCGCAUUUGUCUCAAUAUCUGAACCCAAGAAAGUUGAUGAAGCCUUCAUGGAACCUGAAUGGAUUCAAGCUAUGCAAGAAGAGCUUCAACAUUUUGAGUUGAAUAAUGUAUGGGAACUGGUUGAGCGUCCUGAUCCUCGCAAGCACAAUAUAAUAGGCACCAAAUGGAUAUAUCGCAACAAGCAAGAUGAGCAUGGUCAAGUUGUCAGAAACAAAGCUCGUCUCAUUGCUCAAGGAUAUACUCAAGUUGAAGGGAUUGACUUCGAUGAGACAUUUGCUCAUGUGGCUAGACUUGAAGCCAUACGCAUACUGCUGGCCUAUGCAAAUCAUCAUAACAUUCUUCUGCAUCAAAUGGAUAUGAAGAGCGCUUUUCUCAAUGGCAAGAUUGACGAAGAAGUGUAUGUUGCACAACCGCCUGGCUUUGAAGAUCCAAAACAUCCUAAUAUGAUGUACAAGCUCAACAAGGCACUGUAUGGCCUCAAACAAGCCCCUAGGGCUUGGUAUAACACACUCAAAGACUUCCUGAAGAGCAAAGGCUUCAAACCUGGUUCCCUCGACCCCACUCUCUUCACGAAGACAUAUGAUGGUAAACUGUUUGUGUGCCAAAUAUAUGUGGAUGGCAUUAUCUUCGGCUGCACCAAUCAGAAAUACACUGAUGAGUUUGGAUAUAUGAUGCAAGAGCAAUAUCAGAUGUCCAUGAUGGGAGAGCUGAAGUUCUUCCUUGGUCUUCAACUAUGUCAGCAACGCAACGGCAUCUUUAUAUCUCAAGAGAAAUACCUCAAAGAUUGCCUGAAGAAAUUUGGAAUGCAAGAUUGCAAAGGCUACACGACGCCAAUGCCAGCCAAACAUCAUCUAGGUCCCGACAACAAUGGUAAAGAGUUCGAUCAAAAGGUAUACCGCUCCAUGAUUGGUUCCUUACUUUAUUUAUGUGCAUCUAGGCCAGAUAUCAUGCUUAGUGUUUGCAUGUGUGCCCGGUUCCAAGCGGCACCAAAGGAAUCACAUCACUUAGCUGUGAAGCGAAUUCUCAGAUAUUUGGCUCACACCCCAACACUAGGAUUAUGGUAUCCAAAGGGCUCAGAGUUUGAUCUAGUUGGAUUCUCGGAUGCUGAUUAUGCUGGUGACAAGGUGGAUCGCAAGUCUACAUCAGGCACAUGUCAUUUUCUGGGACGAUCACUUGUAUGUUGGUCUUCAAAGAAGCAGAAUUGUGUAUCUCUCUCCACUGCUGAAUCUGAAUACAUUGCUGCUGGAUCUUGCUGCGCUCAGCUUCUAUGGAUGAAGCAAACACUCAAAGACUAUGGCAUUCACCUGAAGUAAGUACCACUCUACUGUGACAACGAAAGCGCCAUCAAGAUUGCCAACAACCCAGUUCAGCACUCGAAGACAAAGCACAUUGAAAUUCGUCAUCACUUUCUCAGAGAUCAUGUUGUGAAGGAAGAUAUUGAUAUCAUACACGUCAACACUGAAGAGCAAUUGGCAGAUAUCUUCACCAAGCCCUUAGAUGAGAAGAGGUUUUGCAAGUUACGGUGUGAGCUAAAUAUCUUGGAAUCCUCAAAUGUCCUGUGAUCAGGCACACAUCCUAACACUUAUGCAUGUUGAUGACUUAGAUGUGCAACACAUGAAGUAAAGUAUAUCUUCAAUCAAUGAAGACUUACAUUCUGAGUGUGAAUACAUUAACGUGGAAUUUGACUUCGGAGCGCCGCGAUAAUUGUGCGUCGUGUCUGGGUCUAAUACUUCCUAUACGAUGGGUAACGCCACCACCAAAUUCUUCUGUUUGAAGUGUUUUACCCAUGUCGUUACAUGUGCUAUGUCUUCAUAUUUUGUUUGUCUUCAUUUUCAACUUGUAUUCAUGAUUAUCUUCACUAUGUUGACGUUAUUGUCUUCUGAUGUAUACAUACUAGUGUUCUGUCCUCUACAACAUUCACUUAUAGCUAAGUCUUCCUUGUUGAAUCUUUUGAACUAAGUGAAUAUGAUCGGACCCUAAUCUCUCUAUGCUUUCUAUCUCAAACUAUAUCUGUACAAAUCAUAUGCAUUCUAUUGAAACUGUCGAAUGUCUUCUCUGCGUCCUAGUCAGCAGAAGAUACAGAGACAAACAUUAAGUCUGUUUUCAAUGCUAAUUCCUUCACCUGAAACCCGGAGAAGUGGGAACGACCACCCGACAAUCCAGACGUGCGUGGAAACGUGGAACAAUCUCCGAUAUGUUGCAUGAUGGCCACGUGUCCUUCAGAUGUGAAUCGCCAAGGGCACCUGUGUAAUAACACUAUGUCGUCCCUGUCCCUAUAAAUACACGCCUCACCACAGUCAUUAUCCUUUCUUCCCCUCUCGCACAAACCCUAGCGCCACCGCUAGCCCUCGACGAUGUCGGUGAUGAAGCGCUUAGCUGUCGCGACCUCACCGACGUCGUCUUCACGCCGGCCGCGGACAUCGUCUUCUCCGCCGUCGCCGUAGGUGUCCUCCGUCGCCAAGUUAGGGCACGGACGAUUGAACUGCUCGGCCUCCUCUCCCACUCCGUCUAGCAGUUCUUCGUGUGGUAAAUAAAACUUCCUUUUUACGGCCCCUUUUGAUCCUAUAGAUUCAUCACUUUCUACCACAAGAAGUUUCUAUUCACACAAGUUGGAUCUAUUUCAUACUGCAUCUCAUAAUAUGCCUAGUAUGUUCACUUAUGCUUCACAAAGAAGUUAGAUUCCUCACUUGUACUUAUUCGUGGAUUCGUACAAAUCUGGAACCAACUCUCUAUCUAUGAGUGAAUGUCUUCGCACUAUGAGGUCAAUGUCUUCUAAACUGAUUUAUCUUCAAAAUCUUCUGAGAAUGCAUAUGACCUCUUCCCCUUCCCUCGCACCUUAAUGCUGUCACAGGUACAUGUCCGUGGGAGAAUCCCUUGGUUCUCAUAGUCUGCAUUCAUUUGCAGAAUUCUUACAACAUCACAUUAACUCUCCCAAAGCCAGUUCCUGUUUGACCAGAAAGCGAAAGCCUUUGAAGCCUUUAAACGUGUUGAAGCCCUUCAGUUUAAGCUUCAUGGAACCAGAGAAACCUACAAGAAAGUGUGGCAGACAGCGUCGUGACAACACCUCAAGAGAUUUGCCUCCUGACCUCUAUGAGCUGUACAAGACAGAUCCAGAGGAGGACUACAAUCAGCGAAAAACUCAAAUCCAAUGGAUUCGAAGAUAUUGGGCAGAACAGUGGUUCAAGUACAGGUUCGUGACCCAGGAGUAUGCUGAGAAGAAUACCAUCAAACGACCAUGGGGAGACAUUCUAUACAGAAAUCUUCAACCCAAGUCCAGAGCUGAAGCCAUUGAACAAGGCUUCUAUCCUUGCAUGGUCCAUGGACCGCAGCCUGCGGAUGCAGACCCAUCUUCAUUAUUGUGGUGCCGCGAUGAUAAUAUGUUCAAGCGCAACCUUCAGUUUGCCAGGAACUCGGCCAAAGAGAACAAGAAGUCACGAGGCUUAGACUUCAAUCCAGGCCCCUCUGCUCCUCGUGCUGAUGGCACACGCGAAGCUGAACCCAAUCUUGUUGGGCCCUUAUACAACCUGGAAGGUCUCAUCACUCAUAUAAUGGUUCAAGGGACAGCCGUGGAUGAGCCUGCAGAUGACGCUGAAUCUGAUGAAGCGCCUGCACCGCCGAAGCCAAAGAAACUGAAGAAGCCUAAAGCUUCAAAGCCUGCUCCUGCACCAAAGGUCUUAUAGGCGAAGCCUCUGUCCACUGCACCUCCUGAACACAGUGUGUAGUCUGAAGAUUUGUCACGCAUCUCCAAGCCCUCGAGAGUAAAGAUGCCCUUGCAACCCACCAGCCAAGAACUGACUGCUGCUGCUAUUCUGCGCAACGACGCCAUUGAUCUGUCCAGCAAUGAAGAUCUUGCAGAUGACGCUCUUGAGCAACUGAUCAAGAGCAAAGAAGAAGCAGAAAUCUUCAAUGAGUUGCCUCUCUUUGACGUAGCAAUCCUUCACAACUUCAUUGAUGAGUGGUUUGAAACCCCCAAUCUCAGCUUUGAUGAUCUGCAACUUCCAAUUGGCCUCAGCGUCGCUUUCACUGGCGCCAUUGCUUCUGAGCUAGCUCUAGCUCAGUGCAUCGUUGAACUGAAGCAAAAUAUCGACUAUGAGAAAGCUCGGUUCAAGCAGCACAUGGCAAAGCUCAGCGUGCAAGAUGUCAAGAACUUCAAGACUAUGCUGCACGAGCUCAAGGAAGCCUUUCUCAAGAAACGCGAAGAAGCUAAAGGUUCUCAUGAGCGCAUGAAGAGUCUGGCUGACAAGUGCGUGCAAGCCUACAAUGAAGCUGAAAAGCGCAAGGCUCUUGGGCGUCCUGGCAUCGAUCCCAGAAUGGCUGCAAAGAAGAAGAAGAAGCCAGCUAUGGCCGAACCCGAAGCAACAAGGCAAGAAGCACAUCCCAUUGUCUUCCCAGCCAGUAUGACAGGCUCGAAGCCUAAGGUCCCCACAGUGGUUUCAGAAUUAAAGAAGACAAGGGCUGCUGAGGCUGAAGCCAGAAAGAGGAAACAUCCUAAAGCUUCUGAUGUCGCUCCCUCCAAGAAGAAGCGCAAAACCAAGAAAGAUCGGGCUGCUCCCAUAGAGCCCCUUAUUGUUGAUCCCAUCUCGGUUUCUCGUCCUGCCUCUUCGCAUCAAGAACGACGGAUGGUAAUUCAUGCGCCUGCUUCCACAGAGGCUCCUGAAGCUGAAGACAUUCCAGCAGUUGACCCCACCGCUGCUGAAGACAUUGGUCACCAUGACAAUGUUGAAGAUGAUGAUGUCCUUCCUCAGAUCAAGCACAAAUUGGUAUCAUCGCCUGUGCUUAUGCAUAGCGAACUCAUUAGCAUUGGUCGUCCUCUGACGCCAACUGCUCAGGAUGCAUCGUGGGCUAAUCACCCACAGAGACAAGACACUCCAAGCUCUCCCCAACCGCAAGCUACCCCAACAGUGCAAGAUGAUGAUGACUUUGUGGCCCAGCACACUCCAUCUCCACAAGCGUCGCCCGCAUUACGCAGGCUUCGCAAAGGACCAAGGCCCCAAGUCACUCACACAAUGCACGUGUCUGAAUCCGAAGCCAAAAUGGCUGAAGAUUUUCCGGCUGCAUCAGCCGAUGAAGAAGAAGAUGAAGAAGAAGCCCCAAGAGUUUCAAGAGUUGCUACACCCCCGUCUCACCAAGAUGUUGUUCUCGAGGAGAACGUGACCGGCCCUCCAGCUUAUAAAGUGGAGGUUAACAACCCUGAAGUAACCACCAACAUCACUGUUGAUGCCAAUGACGUUGUCAUGGUUGACGCCAAUAUGGCGCCGGAAGCCAAUGAGGCGCCAGAAGCCAAUGAGGCACCAGAAGUCAAUGCUGCAACACCUGAAGUCAAUGCUGCAACACCUGAGGUCCAAGUACCUGAAGCACAUGUGGCCCAUGAAGACAAUGCCAAUGCCCUUGUUCCCCCUCCAAGACCUCACACAAUGGAGCUGGCAUUUGAUCGUGGUCAGCCAGUUAUUGUUCGAUGGCCCAUUCUGACUCCUCCGCCUGCUGCUGGUCCACAAUUUGAGUACCACGUUGAGCACAGGCCUCAAGUCCAAAAGCCCAAGCCAAGAAUUCCACGUUUCCCAGGCACUGCCACUUCACCUGGGGUCUUCAAUGCGAAUGGUUUCGUGGCACAUAAUACCUUCUUCAACAGCUCCAAGAACCCUUAUACCAGACCGCGCAUUUCCUCAGAUCGGUUCUGGAGCUAUCAGCAGCGCAACUACUAUUCUUGUGUCCUAUACAAUCAAGGGCGCAUAUUUCCACAUAUGCGCCUCGACUCUGAAGCUACAGCUGGUCUGCCCUGCCUCGAAGAAGCAUUGGACUAUUUCAGAGAUGCUAGUCUGUUGCAGUUCAUCACUGAUAAGGAGCACUGGAAUGAAGAAUUGCUGCUUCAAUUCUAUGCCACUCUUCAUAUUCGAGGCUACAACAGGGAUCCGAAGACUUGGGUCCUUGAGUGGAUGACAGGCAAUGUCCAUCAUGAAGCUAAAGCUCUUGAUAUCAUUGAGCUCACAGGCCUGCACACUCCUGGUGAAUACUAUGAACCAGGUUGUCAACAACAUCAAAAUGCCUUGGAAAGCAUCUUUCAGAAGCCAGAACCCAACAUGAGUCAAAUGUUGAGCAUGAUGAAGCCCCUGCCUCACGACGCUGAAUACCCAUCUGAGUUCUUUGUUGAAGACCUAGAGUACCUGCCUCGCACCAUUUACCACAUCAUCAGGAAGACUCUAUGGCCUAUCAAAGGACACUCAUCUGCAGCGAAGCUUGAAGGAGCAAUGAAGACUUUGGUUUUCUAUAUCUUCAAUGGCAUCAGCUUCAAUGCUCAAGACUUCUUCAUCAGGCAGUUGGCUGCGUCUGGCUCCAACAUCUUUGGGUUGAAAUUCUAUGCUCCAUGGGUCAUGCGUCUGAUCAAGCGUCACUCAGCCUUCAACUAUCAGCCGUCUGCGUGCAAUCAUCUUAUAUUCUUGCCCGAGGUUGAUCUGUCAGUUGAAGCCAUUUACCCAGAGCCUGCUAAGGAUCCCAUUUAUCUUCACAAUGCUGAUCACCAAAGCUUCACCCAGCCCAUUGAAGGAAUUCCAGCAGUGUCUCGUGUUUAUCCCCUUGCUGGAAACACACGUGCCCCUCGUGCUCAAACUGAUGCCACUGGUAGCACCAUUGCGCAAAGGCCUCAAAGACGAUCUCGUGUCCUCAAUGACCGAGAGCUUGUCGUCACGCUGCAUCAGAAACAGGACAAACAUCACGACUGGCUUAAGCGUCAGAUGCAAAACCUCUUGGUGGAUGUCAACCGCAAUCGCAAUCUUGCCACCAAGAAUGCCUUUGUCACUCAUGAAACCUGUCGGAGGUCGUGGAAGAGUUUGCCCCUACUGAGUGUUGAAGCUAAUCUGCAUGACGAUGGCUUCACCGAACGCUUCAAGUUUGACUCAACUCCUCCCAGAAAUGCUCACUUGCGUCGGACUCCCUCACUUGAAGACUCUGAAUACUCGUCCUCAGCUGCAACCGUAAAUGCCAGAGACAUUGAUGACCAAGAUGAUGCAACUUCACCUCCUCCAACUUCAGCGCGUGACGACACUGCACCAAGUUCCUCUCCACCACCGGAUCUCACCAACGACCCUGCUGCCUCGCCUGCACCUCAUGGGAUCGAGUAGGCGCUCUAUGUCUUCAAACCUUUUUGGUCCUCACUGACAAAAGGGGGAGAAGCAUAUGAGUUGAUAGUCUUCAAGCGGGUCCAUAUGGGUGGUUGCUUUACUUUUUGCUACUUUUGCCAAGUGCUUACAACUCUCGUUUUCGAUACAUUUGGUCGCCUGCUACUUAUUUGCUAUCCUGUGAUGCGAUGAUAAAUUCCGCAUGUGCGACGAUAAAUUCUGCACUUAGAUCAUUUUGCAGACGUCCAUUUUUCAGUAUGCAUGUCAUUAUCUUCACAUACUUUUCUUGCAUGAUGAAUUGUCAUCAUAAGUUGAAGAGGAUCUCCACAAGUACAACCUGCCAUGUGCAUUUGCAUACCAAAAACAAAUUACUUAUAUGCACAUCUUCAGGGGGAGCCUUUACCACUUAUGGUGACAAUCCCCUAUCCUUUACAAUUUCACAUAUUUUAUUCCCCGUUGAAAACUUCAACUAGUUUGUCAUCAAUCACCAAAAAGAGGGAGAUUGUAAGUGCAUCUAGUGCCACCCCUAGUUGGUUUUGGAGUAUUGACGACAAACCUAGUUGAGGGACUAAUGUGUUUGUGAGAAUUGCAGAAUAACACAGGUAGAAGUCCCUCAUUGAUUCGGUUUUCCUACCAGAGAUGACCCCUAAAAAUGUAAGAAGACAUUGAAGUCAAAGGUGGUAUGUGAAGACAUUCACAUUGAAGACUAUGACAAGAGAGGAAAUCGCAUGAAAACUAUGGAGCGCGAAGAUUUAGUUCUUUCGUCGUUCUUUUUCUUCUUUGUUGAGUCAUAGUAACCACCGUACUGUUAAAUGGGGUCCAAGUGAACCAGUCAGAAUGACUGAAGUGAUGCUUAACCAAAAUCCUAUGUCUUCGAGUGAAGACUAUGAGAGCAAAUCUUGUCCAGAGUUGGAUAAGUCAGCUUUGCUUGUAGCUCAAGUAAAGUUGUCGUGUGUGUUUGAAAUCUAACCGUUGGAACACGUGUCAGUUCCUUAGUGACCAAGGGUCAUUUCGGAAAAAUCAGGUCGGGUUGCCUAGUGGCUAUAAAUAGCCCACCCCCUACAACCAUAAACGGUUGGCUGCUCAGAGUUAGUACACGGCUUUUGUCGUUUGACAGCAACCCACCUCAAAGCCUUUGAGAGAGAAUUCCUUGCGAGGAUAAAGCCCUAAACACCCAGAGCCAAAGAGUGUUAGGCAUCACUGAAGUCUUCCUGUCUGUGUGAUCUGAAGACUUAUUACACUUGAGGACUAUGAAUCCUCCAGCCGGUUAGGCGUCGCGUUCUGAGCAUCCAAGAGUCAUUGUGGAUCGCCGGUGAACGAAGUCUGUGAAGGUUUGGAAGUCUACCUUGAAGACUUACCAGAGUGAUUGGGCGAGGUCUGUGUGACCUUAGCUCAAGGGGAAUACGGUGAGGACUGAGUGUCCUGAGCUGCGUGUUCAGGACUGGGUGUCCGGGACUGUGUGUCCUCAGGUUUAAAUACCUAGCCGCCCUAACCAGACGUACAACUGUCACCGCAGUUGGAACUGGUCUACCAAACCUUUGUCUUCACCAAGCUCACUGGUUCUAUCCUUCCCAUCUCUUUAUUUACAGUUGGUCCUUGUGAAGUCAUUGCCUAUUUGCAUUGUCCAUUUGUCUUCACUGUGUGACUCUUUGUUCAGAUUGGUUUCAUAUUAUCUUCCAUCCUGAUCCGUACUGGCUAGCUGUUGUUAGUCUUUGUGCUUUCACUUCAUUGAAUACUUGACUAUGGCUUGUCUAGGGCAGUCUACCUUCCGCUGCAUGGUUAUAGGUUCAUUUCUAUUGUUUGUCAUCAAAACUCCCAUGUUUUGAAGACUUUCAUAAAAAUCGCCUAUUCACCCCCCCUCUAGUCGAUAUAACGCACUUUCACUUUUGCAUACGAACUUGAAUUGGGAAUUUUUUUAUAUCAAAAUCGAUCGGUUCAAUGAGACGAAGACAAUUCAUGUAGAUCAUUUUUUCAUAUGAGGUCGUCUUGGGGGCUUAAUCGGCCAAACUGUACUCCGAAUAUAAGAUCUUGGUACUUUGAGCAUAGUUUCGGCCUUUGAGAUGAAAUCGGACGGUGAUGGCCCAAACUUCAAAGAUGUUCAUAUCAACAAUAUGGAACUCUUCAUGUAGAUCACUUCUCCAUUUGAGGCCAUCUUAAAUAAGUUCUUGACCGUGCCAAAAUCGGGUGUCAACACAUGCCCCCCUGUUUUUCGGCAAAGCUUGUGUGCCGAAAAAUAACUUGCACAUAGCUUGCUCUAGGGACGAUGUCAACACUCCAUAGGCUAUUUUGCAUGUUCUUAGGAUGAUAAGUUUAUAUCGGCCAUUGCUUGUGUGAAUAUUCUAAUGCAAUAUUGGGUGAAACUUCUCAACUUCUAUAACAAUCUGGUGAUAAGGUUCCAUAGAUCAAAACCAUCCUCCGAACCAUAUUGUUCACCCUUUCGCUAGGAUUCUGCAGAUAAGUAAGAAUGAACUUUCUCCAAUCCUUACUUCGCCUGCAUAAAAGUUUCAUUUGUGGCCGAAGCUGUGGACUUCGGUUCGGCCUUACCUAUGUUGACGAGACGAAGCAUCGGCUAUUGAGAGAAAUGCAAUACACCAUGAUUAACAUAGUAGCCAGAUGCUUGAUGUGCCAACUGAAGGAAAUAUGCCCUAGAGGCAAUAAUAAACUUAUUAUUUAUUUCCUUAUAAUCAUGAUAAAUGUUUAUUAUUCAUGCUAGAAUUGUAUUAACCAGAAACAUGAUACAUGUGUGAAUACAUAGACAAACAAAGUGUCACUAGUAUGCCUCUACUUGACUAGCUCAUUAAUCAAAGAUGGUUAUGUUUCCUAACCAUGAACAAUGAGUUGUUAUUUGAUUAACAAGGUCACAUCAUUAGUUGAAUGAUCUGAUUGACAUGACCCAUUCCAUUAGCUUAGCACCCGAUCGUUUAGUAUGUUGCUAUUGCUUUCUUCAUGACUUAUACAUGUUCCUAUAACUAUGAGAUUAUGCAACUCCCGUUUGCCGGAGGAACACUUUGGGUGCUACCAAACGUCACAACGUAACUGGGUGAUUAUAAAGGAGCAUUACAGGUGUCUCUAAAGGUAGAUGUUGGGUUGGCGUAUUUCGAGAUUAGGUUUUGUCACUGAUUGUCGGAGAGGUAUUUCUGGGCCCUCUCGGUAAUGCACAUCACUUAAGCCUUGCAAGCAUUGCAACUAAAUGAGUUAGUUGCGGGAUGAUGUAUUAUAGAACGAGUAAAGAGACUUGCCAGUAACGAGAUUGAACUAGGUACUGGAAUACCGACGAUCGAAUCUCGGGCAAGUAACAUACCGAUGACAAAGGGAACAACGUAUGUUGUUAUGCGGUCUGACCGAUAAAGAUCUUCAUAGAAUAUGUAGGAGCCAAUAUGGGCAUCCAGGUCCCGCUAUUGGUUAUUGACCAAAGACGUGUCUCGGUCAUGUCUACAUUGUUCUCGAACCCGUAGGGUCCGCACGCUUAAGGUUACGAUGACAGUUAUAUUAUGAGUUUAUGCAUUUUGAUGUACCGAAGGUUGUUCGGAGUCCCGGAUGUGAUCACGGACAUGACGAGGAGUCUCCAAAUGGUCGAGACAUAAAGAUUGAUAUAUUGGAAGCCUAUGUUUGGAUAUCGGAAGUGUUCCGGGUGAAAUCGGAAUUUUACCGGAGUACCGGGAAGGUUACCGGAACCCCCCGGGAGCUAAAUGGGCCAUGAUGGGCCUUAGUGGAAAAGAGAAGAGGCAGCCCUACAUGGGCUGUGCGCCUACCCCUUCCCCUAGUCCUAUUAGGACUAGGAGAGGUGGCCGGCCCCCUCUCUCUCUUUUCCCCCUCCGCGAAUCCUAUUUCAACUAGGAUUGGGGGGGGAAUCCUACUCCCAGAGGGAGUAGGACUCUCCUGGCGCGCCACACCUUGCCCGGCCAGCCUCCCCCCUCUAGUCCUUUAUAUACUGAGGCAGAGGCACCCUAGAACACACAAGUUGAUCCACGUGAUCUAUUCCUUAGUCGUGUGCGGUGCCCCCUGCCACCAUAUUCCUCGAUAAUACUGUAGCGGAGUUUAGGCGAAGCCCUGCCGCUGUAGUACAUCAAGAUCGUCACCACGCUAUCGUGCUGACGGAACUCUUCCCCGACACUUUGCUGGAUCGGAGUCCGGGGAUCGUCAUCGAGCUGAACGUUUGCUCGAACUCGGAGGUGCCGUAGUUUCGGUGCUUGAUCGGUUGGAUCGUGAAGACGUACGACUACUUCCUCUACGUCGUGUCAAUGCUUCCGCAGUCGGUCUGCGUGGGUACAUAGACAACACUCUCCCUUCUCGUUGCUAUGCAUCACAUGAUCUUACGUGUGCGUAGGAAAUUUUUUGAAAUUACUACGAAACUCAACAGUGGCAUCCGAGCCUAGGUUAUUUAUGUUGAUGUUAUAUGCACGAGUAGAACACAAGUGAAUUGUGGGCGAUAUAAGUCAUACUGCCUACCAGCAUGUCAUACUUUGGUUUGGCGGCAUUGUUGGACGAGACGACCCGGACCAACAUUACGCGUACGCUUACGCGAGACCGGUUCCCCCGACGUGCUUUGCACAUAGGUGGCUUGCGGGCGACUGUCUCUCCAACUUUAGUUGAACCAAGUAUGGCUACGCCCGGUCCUUGCGAAGGUUAAAACGGAGUCUAUUUGACAAACUAUCGUUGUGGUUUUGAUGCGUAGGUGAGAUUGGUUCUUGCUUAAGCCCGUAGCAGCCACAUAAAACUUGCAACAACAAAGUAGAGGACGUCUAACUUGUUUUUGCAGGGCAUGUUGUGAUGUGAUAUGGUCAAGACAUGAUGCUGAACUUUAUUGUAUGAGAUGAUCAUGUUUUGUAACCAAGUUAUCGGCAACUGGCAGGAGCCUUAUGGUUGUCAUUUUAUUGUAUGCAAUGAAAUCGCGAUGUAAUGCUUUACUUUAUUACUAAGCGGUAGUGAUAGUCAUGGAAGCAUAAGCUUGGCGAGACGACAACGAUGCUACGAUGGAGAUCAAGGUGUCACGCCGGUGACGAUGGUGGUCACGACGGUGCUUCGGAGAUGGAGAUCACAAGCACAAGAUGAUGAUGGCCAUAUCAUAUCACUUAUAUUGAUUGCAUGUGAUGUUUAUCCUUUUAUGCAUCUUAUCUUGCUUUGAUUGACGGUAGCAUUAUAAGAUGAUCUCUCACUAAAUUAUCAAGAAGUGUUCUCCCUGAGUAUGCACCGUUGCGAAAAUUCUUCGUGCUGAGACACCACGUGAUGAUCGGGUGUGAUAGGUUCUACGUUCAAAUACAACGGGUGCAAAACAGUUGCACACGCGGAAUACUCAGGUUAUACUUGACGAGCCAAGCAUAUACAGAAAUGGCCUCGGAACACGGAGACCGAAAGGUCGAGCGUGAAUCAUAUAGUAGAUAUGAUCAACAUAACAAUGUUCACCAUUGAAAACUACUCCAUCUCACGUGAUGAUCGGUUAUGGUUUAGUUGAUUUGGAUCACGUAAUCACUUAGAGGAUUAGAGGGAUGUCUAUCUAAGUGGGAGUUCUUUAAUUAACUUGAUUAACUGAACUUAAAUUUAUCAUGAAACUUAGUACCUGAUUAGUAUCUUGCUUGUUUAUGUUUGAUUGUAGAUAGAUGGCUCGUGCUGUUGUUCCGUUGAAUUUUAAUGCGUUCCUUGAGAAAGCAAAGUUGAAAGAUGAUGGUAGCAAUUACACGGACUGGGUCCGUAACUUGAGGAUUAUCCUCAUUGCUGCACAGAAGAAUUACGUCCUGAAAGCACCACUGGGUGCCAAGCCUGCUGUAGGAGCAAUGCCGGAUGUUAUGAACGUCUGGCAGAGCAAAGCUGAUGACUACUCGAUAGUUCAGUGUGCCAUGCUUUACGGCUUAGAAUCGGGACUUCAACGACGUUUUGAAUGUCAUGGGGCAUAUGAGAUGUUUCAGGAGUUGAAGUUAAUAUUUCAAGCAAAUGCCCGGAUUGAGAGAUAUGAAGUCUCCAAUAAGUUCUAUAGCUGCUGCAAGAUGGAGGAGAACAGUUCUGUCAGUGAGCAUAUACUCAAAAUGUCUGGGUAUAAUAAUCACUUGAUUCAAUUGGGAGUUAAUCUUCCAGAUGAUAGUGUCAUUGACAGAAUUCUUCAAUCACUGCCACCAAGCUACAAGAGCUUCGUGAUGAACUAUAAUAUGCAAGGGAUGAACAAGACUAUUCCCGAGCUCUUCGCGAUGCUGAAAGCUGCGGAGGUAGAAAUCAAGAAGGAGCAUCAAGUGUUGAUGGUCAACAAGACCACUACUUUCAAGAAAAAGGGCAAAGGGAAGAAGAAGGGGAACUUCAGAAAGAGCGGCAAGCAAGUUGCUACUCAAGAGAAGAAACCCAAGCCUGGACCUAAGCCUGAAACUGAGUGCUUCUAUUGCAAGCAGACUGGUCACUGGAAGCGGAACUGCCCCAAGUAUUUGGCGGAUAAGAAGGAUGGCAAGGUGAACAAAGGUAUAUGUGAUAUACAUGUUAUUGAUGUGUACCUUACUAAUGCUCGCAGUAGCACCUGGGUAUUUGAUACUGGUUCUGUUGCUAAUAUUUGCAACUCGAAACAGGGACUACGGAUCAAGCGAAGAUUGGUUAAGGACGAGGUGACGAUGCGCGUGGGAAACGGUUCCAAAGUCGAUGUGAUCGCAGUCAGCACGCUACCUCUACAUCUACCUUCGGGAUUAGUAUUAGACCUAAAUAAUUGUUAUUUGGUGCCAGUGUUAAGCAUGAACAUUAUAUCUGGAUCUUGUUUGAUGCGAGACGGUUAUUCAUUUAAAUCAGAGAAUAAUGGUUGUUCUAUUUAUAUGAGUAAUAUCUUUUAUGGUCAUGCACCCUUGAAGAGUGGUCUAUUCUUAUUGGAUCUCGAUAGUAGCAACACACAUAUUCAUAAUGUUGAAGCCAAAAGAUGCAGAGUUGAUAAUGAUAGUGCAACUUAUUUGUGGCACUGCCGUUUAGGUCAUAUAGGUGUAAGGCGCAUGAAGAAGCUCCAUUCUGAUGGACUUUUGGAACCACUUGAUUAUGAAUCACUUGGUACUUGCGAAACGUGCCUCAUGGGCAAGGUGACCAAAAUGCCGUUCUCCGGUACUAUGGAGAGAGCAACAAAUUUGUUGGAAAUCAUACAUACAGAUGUAUGUGGUCCGAUGAAUAUUGAGGCUCGUGGCGGAUAUCGUUAUUUUCUCACCUUCACAGAUGAUUUAAGCAGAUAUGGGUAUAUUUACUUAAUGAAACAUAAGUCUGAAACAUUUGAAAAGUUCAAAGAAUUUCAGAGUGAAGUUGAAAAUCAUCGUAACAAGAAAAUAAAGUUUCUACGAUCUGAUCGUGGAGGAGAAUAUUUGAGUUACGAGUUUGGUGUACAUUUGAAAAAUUGUGGAAUAGUUUCGCAACUCACGCCACCCGGAACACCUUAGCGUAAUGGUGUGUUCGAACGUCGUAAUCGUACUUUACUGGAUAUGGUGUGAUCUAUGAUGUCUCUUACUGAUUUACCGCUAUCGUUUUGGGGAUACGCUCUAGAGACAGCCGCAUUCACGUUAAAUAGGGCACCAUCAAAAUCCGUUGAGACGACGCCUUAUGAACUGUGGUUUGGCAAGAAACCAAAGUUGUCGUUUCUGAAAGUUUGGGGCUGCGAUGAUUAUGUGAAAAAGCUUCAACCUGAUAAGCUCGAACCCAAAUCGGAGAAAUGUGUCUUCAUAGGAUAUCCAAAGGAAACUAUUGGAUACACCUUCUAUCACAGAUCCGAAGGCAAGACUUUUGUUGCUAAAUUCGGAAACUUUCUGGAGAAGGAGUUUCUCUCGAAAGAAGUGAGUGGGAGGAAAGUAUAGCUUGACGAGGUAACUGUACCUGCUCCCUUAUUGGAAAGUAGUACAUCACAGAAAACUGUUUCUAUGACACCUACACCAGUUAGUGAGGAAGCUAAUGAUAAUGAUCAUGAAACUUCAGAACAAGAUACUAUUGAACCUCAUAGAUCAACCAGAGCAAGAUCCGCACCAGAGUGGUACGGUAAUCCCGUUCUGGAAGUCAUGCUACUAGAUCAUGAUGAACCUACGAACUAUGAAGAAGCGAUGGUGAGCCCAGAUUUCGCAAAGUGGCUUGAAGCCAUGAAAUCUGAGAUGGGAUCCAUGUAUGAGAACAAAGUGUGGACUUUGGUUGACUUGCCCGAUGAUCGACAAGCAAUUGAGAAUAAAUGGAUCUUCAAGAAGAAGACUGACGCUGACGGUAAUAUCACUGUCUACAAAGCUCGACUUGUCGCGAAAGGUUUUCGGCAAGUUCAAGGGAUUGACUACGAUGAGACCUUCUCACCCGUAGCGAUGCUUAAGUCUGUCCGAAUCAUGUUAGCAAUUGCCGCAUUUUAUGAUUAUGAAAUUUGGCAGAUGGAUGUCAAAACUGCAUUCCUGAAUGGAUUUCUAGAAGAAGAGUUGUAUAUGAUGCAACCAGAAGGUUUUGUCGAUCCAAAGGGAGCUAACAAAGUGUGCAAGCUCCAGCGAUCCAUUUAUGGACUGGUGCAAGCCUCUCGGAGUUGGAAUAAACGUUUUGAUAGUGUGAUCAAAGCAUUUGGUUUUAUACAGACUUUUGGAGAAGCCUGUAUUUACAAGAAAGUGAGUGGGAGCUCUAUAGCAUUUCUAAUAUUAUAUGUGGAUGACAUAUUGUUAAUUGGAAAUGAUAUAGAAUUUCUGGAUAGCAUAAAGGGAUACUUGAAUAAGAGUUUUUCAAUGAAAGACCUCGGUGAAGCUGCUUACAUAUUAGGCAUUAAGAUCUAUAGAGAUAGAUCAAGACGCUUAAUUGGACUUUCACAAACAACAUACCUUGAGAAAAUUUUGAAGAAGUUCAAAAUGGAUCAAGCAAAGAAAGGAUUCUUGCCUGUGUUACAAGGUGUGAAAUUGAGUAAGACUCAAUGCCCGACCACUGCAGAAGAUAGAGAGAAUAUGAAAGAUGUUCCCUAUGCAUCAGCGAUAGGAUCUAUCAUGUAUGCAAUGUUGUGCACCAGACCUGAUGUGUGCCUUGCUAUAAGUCUAGCAGGGAGGUACCAAAGUAAUCCAAGAGUGGAUCACUGGACAACGGUCAAGAACAUCCUGAAAUACCUGAAAAGGACUAAGGAUAUGCUUCUCGUAUAUGGAGGUGACAAAGAGCUCGUCGUAAAAGGUUACGUUGAUGCAAGCUUUGACACUGAUCCGGACGAUUCUAAAUCGCAAACCGGAUACGUGUUUACAUUAAACGGUGGAGCUGUCAGUUGGUGCAGUUCUAAACAAAGCGUCGUAGCGGGAUCUACAUGUGAAGCGGAAUACAUAGCUGCUUCGGAAGCAGCGAACGAAGGAGUCUGGAUGACGGAGUUCAUAUCCGAUCUAGGCGUCAUACCUAGCGCAUCGGGUCCAAUGAAAAUCUUUUGUGACAAUACUGGUGCAAUUGCCUUGGCAAAGGAAUCCAGAUUUCACAAAAGAACCAAGCACAUCAAGAGAUGCUUCAACUCCAUCCGGGAUCUAGUCCAGGUGGGAGACAUAAAGAUUUGCAAGAUACAUACAGAUCUGAAUGUUGCAGACCCAUUGACUAAGCCUCUUCCACGAGCAAAACAUGAUCAGCACCAAGGCUCCAUGGGUGUUAGAAUCAUUACGGUGUAAUCUAGAUUAUUGACUCUAGUGCAAGUGGGAUACUGAAGGAAAUAUGCCCUAGAGGCAAUAAUAAAGUUAUUAUUUAUUUCCUUAUAAUCAUGAUAAAUGUUUAUUAUUCAUGCUAGAAUUGUAUUAACCGGAAACAUAAUACAUGUGUGAAUACAUAGACAAACAAAGUGUCACUAGUAUGCCUCUACUUGACUAGCUCAUUAAUCAAAGAUGGUUAUGUUUCCUAACCAUGAACAAUGAGUUGUUAUUUGAUUAACGAGGUCACAUCAUUAGUUGAAUGAUCUGAUUGACAUGACCCAUUCCAUUAGCUUAGCACCCGAUCGUUUAGUAUGUUGCUAUUGCUUUCUUCAUGACUUAUACAUGUUCCUAUAACUAUGAGAUUAUGCAACUCCCGUUUGCCGGAGGAACACUUUGGGUGCUACCAAACAUCACAACGUAACUGGGUGAUUAUAAAGGAGCAUUACAGGUGUCUCCAAAGGUAGAUGUUGGGUUGGCGUAUUUCGAGAUUAGGUUUUGUCACUCCGAUUGUCGGAGAGGUAUCUCUGGGCCCUCUCGGUAAUGCACAUCACUUAAGCCUUGCAAGCAUUGCAACUAAAUGAGUUAGUUGCGGGAUGAUGUAUUACAGAACGAGUAAAGAGACUUGCCAGUAACGAGAUUGAACUAGGUAUUGGAAUACCAACGAUCGAAUCUCGGGCAAGUAACAUACCGAUGACAAAGGGAAUAACGUAUGUUGUUAUGCGGUCUGACCAAUAAAGAUCUUCGUAGAAUAUGUAGGAGCCAAUAUGGGCAUCCAGGUCCCGCUAUUGGUUAUUGACCGAAGACGUGUCUCGGUCAUGUCUACAUUGUUCUCGAACCCGUAGGGUCCGCACGCUUAAGGUUACGAUGACAGUUAUAUUAUGAGUUUAUGCAUUUUGAUGUACCGAAGGUUGUUCGGAGUCCCGGAUGUGAUCACGGACAUGACGAGGAGUCUCGAAAUGGUCGAGACAUAAAGAUUGAUAUAUUGGAAGCCUAUGUUUGGAUAUCGGAAGUGUUUCGGGUGAAAUCGGAAUUUUACCGGAGUACCGGGAAGGUUACCGGAACCCCCCGGGAGCUAAAUGGGCCAUGAUGGGCCUUAGUGGAAAAGAGAAGAGGCAGCCCUACAUGGGCUGUGCGCCUCCCCCUUCCCCUAGUCCUAUUAGGACUAGGAGAGGUGGCCGGCCCCCUCUCUCUCUUUUCCCCCUCCGCGAAUCCUAUUCCAACUAGGAUUGGGGGGGGGGGGGAAUCCUACUCCCAGAGGGAGUAGGACUCUCCUGGCGCGCCACACCUUGGCCGGCUAGCCUCCCCCCUCUAGUCCUUUAUAUACUGAGGCAGAGGCACCCUAGAACACACAAGUUGAUCCACGUGAUCUAUUCCUUAGCCGUGUGCGGUGCCCCCUGCCACCAUAUUCCUCGAUAAUACUGUAGCGGAGUUUAGGCGAAGCCCUGCCGCUGUAGUACAUCAAGAUCGUCACCACGCCAUCGUGCUGACGGAACUCUUCCCCGACACUUUGCUGGAUCGGAGUCCGGGGAUCGUCAUCGAGCUGAACGUGUGCUCGAACUCGGAGGUGCCGUAGUUUCGGUGCUUGAUCGGUUGGAUCGUGAAGACGUACGACUACUUCCUCUACGUCGUGUCAACGCUUCCGCAGUCGGUCUGCGUGGGUACGUAGACAACACUCUCCCUUCUCGUUGCUAUGCAUCACAUGAUCUUGCGUGUGCGUAGGAAAUUUUUUGAAAUUACUACGAAACCCAACACCAACUCUUUCGAAUUGUCAUGUCUAAAUAUAUAAACAAUUUUAAAGCAUCCCAUGGUAAAUUCUGCAUCUAGACAUACCCCAAGAUAAACUAUAGUGAUUCGUCAAAACAUUGAUAAACCCUGGAUAUUUGUUGCACUACUCAUAAUGAAUCACUGAAAGCCUUAGUAUGUAUAGCACCUAUAGCAAGUAAAAGAUUCAAUCCGAAUAACAAUGCAUAUUCGGCUUUGAUUAAUCAUGCAUAAAAAUAUUCUAAUCGGCAUGAGGCUUUAAAAAUAGUACCAUAAAGAGAUAUAUAAACAACACCAACACUUUGGCCAUUGUUAUUAAUUGAACCAUCAAAACAUAAUCCAUAGUUCUAGAGAGACAAGGCUAAUAUCAAUAUUAUGCAUGUCAUUAAUCUGAUGUUCAGUAAUAAAAUCAGCUAUGAUUUGGCCUCUCAUAUAUCUCAAAGAUGCAUAAGCCAAAUCAUAUCCAAACAAAGUAUAAGCCCACUAGCCAAUUCUGCAACUAUGAAUUGGUCUAUGCAGCAUAUAUUCAAUGACAUCGGUCAUGAUGUCUCAACUCCAUUCAAUCAUAAUAUAGGCAUACAUAUAAAUUUCCAUAAACACGUACCUUGUCUCGCUCUCCAAUCGAACUAAGGACGAUGUUAGAAUACUACACCGGCCAUGCAUUGACAUACGCUUAGGACGAUAGAUAACUAUCGGCCAUUACCAUGUAAACUUCGUUCGAAGCACAUAUGGCUGAUGAUGUAUUCCAUCGCAUAUGCGUUAAUGGCAUAGUUGAAGAACAUGGAUAAUGUAUAGACCGAAGAUGCUGAACCUUUGGCUUGGUCCUUCAUAGUUUUCACUUUUUCCUUCUUCACCUUUACCGCACUUCUUGUAAUGGAAGCUUGCACAUAAUUCUUAUUUUGGGCACUUCCUUUGGGAACCCAUGCCAUGUUCCUUUCUUCAAGUUCUUGUGCAAUAAGUUUUUGUAAUUUCUUCUUUUGCCAAUAUGAUAAGCCGAGUGGGCACCCCGGCUACGAUUUUGUUUGAAGCAGUGGCAAUUCUUGUUUUACCUUGUGCACUCUCAACUUUUUUUCUUCAGAUUUGGCACUUUGACUCUCAAUAAUUGGUUGCUUCGUCUCAUUGCUUUUAGUAGCCAAUGUCAACACUUUAGGCCUCUUUUGGUUCAUAGGAUAGGAUUAUUGUAGGAAUAGGAAAUUUGUAGAAAAUGAGAUGACAUGUAUCCCAAAUCCUAUGAGUAGGAAUAAGAAAUGAGAUGUCAUUUGGUUCACACCAAAGGAAUUUUUCCAUUGAGUCUAGGCUCAUUUUUUAUUUUCCUAUAAAAUGUGGAGGAUAGGAACCAAUCCUAUAUAGGAAUAGGAAUCCAUCCCUAUGAACCAAAGGGCUCUUAAGAAAAAAAUCCUAUGAGAAUCCUAUCCUCUAUAAUUCCUAUGAAAUUCCUUCAAACCAAAGGAGGCCUUAAUUGGCUCUUUUUCAUUUGAGAUCAAAUCUGAAGUUGCACUCUUACGACCAUCUCUUUUAACACGGUAAACUUGCUUCAGCAUCUCUUUCUUCUUCCUUGAGUUCUAGACCAAUUCCUCAUGAUUGAAAUGGUCUUUAACAUGUGAUUGUUCAAACGUUGAUCCUCUCGAAUCUGCAUAAUGUUGGUGAGAUGUUCUAAAAUAAGAUGGAGAAUGUGCCACUGUAUCAUACCUAUCCCAUGAUGGAUAUGAUUCUAUACGAGCAUAGGGAGGCAUCCGCGGCAUUGACAUUGGCGGCCCAAAAUAAGGAUAUGAAUAUGUUGCAUUAAAAUUCUCACUUUGCCAAUACUGAUCCUCAUAUUUGCGCCUUGGGGGUGAUCUUGGUUUCUUUGCAUGAUUUGGACGAUAAGCAUUCUUCUCUUCACUCUUCUUUUUAUAUUUAUCCAAUAGUUCAGCAAAGGUGAUUUUUGAUCUCUUACACUUACGCUUAUUUCGGCCUUUGUUUUCUUUUGGUUUGCUUUCAUCGAUCAUUGGAUUUGCUUGCUGCCCCCCAGUCUUUGGCGUCUUAAUUGUAGCUUUAAUGGAAUUCUCACCCUCAAGUUUAUGUUCAUUGUGCUCUUCAACAAUUUCUUUACUUGAAAGCUUGAUCCCAUCACCUGUAGUUUUUACCUUCUCUUUAGAUGGAUCGGCUUGAAGUAACUGACGCAAAAACUUUUUGUCAUCAAGACCAAUCGAAAUAGACUGGUCAUCCUUUAGUGUUUCAACAAUUUUCAAUCGUCCUUUUUCAAUGGCCGAUUUAACUAUUUGACGAAACAUGUUGCAAUCCUCAAAAUUAUGCUUGAACGAAUCAUGCAACUUACAAUAUAUUCGUCCUUGGAUAGAUGGCUCGACAUGGUGAUCAAGAAUUCUAAUAAAAUUAUUUCUCAACAACAAAUCAAAGAUUUGAUCACACAUGUUUGAAUUGAAGGUAACUUUUUUAUUUUGUAGUCGAUCUUGCUAUGAGAACGGCUUUGGAGUUAAGCAAACGAAUGGUUCAAAUCUUGCAUCACCCCAUUUGGCUAUGCAUUGUGUUUUGCACUCUAUCUCCGAUGUCUUUGGGUAAGAUAUUAUACUAGCAUCAGUUUGCUCAGAAGAUUUUAACCUUGGUUUUAAAUUUCUGAAACGAAAAUAGUUAGAACAUACAUGUCUCAGUUGAGACCAAGUGUAAGCCAAGUAAGAAAUAAGCAAAGCUACCGAAUUAGAUAUGAGCUUUAGAUAAAGCAAUGGGGAAAGCCUUGGCUGCAAUAAUUUUUCGCUAUCAAUCUUUGUGAAUGGUGUGAUAUGUUAACCGAUAUGCUUUGUGACAAUCUGAUUGCUAACAAAUAAAUUACCCUUCUUCAUUGGUCUAUCAAUAUUUCUUAUGAAGAUUUUUCUAAUAUAUGCAUCAACAAUUAAGUCAUGACAAAAUCUGAAAACGGGUAAAUUAAUUGCUAGACAUACCUCUUCAAAUAUGUUGGGAGAGCAUGAUGGUGGUGUAACUUGAAGAAUAUCUUGCUCUGCCUUUGGAUGGCUCCCCAACACCUCUUCAUUGUCUUUUUCUUGAUUUCGUGCAUCAUUACACUGAAGAUUUUUGUUGGCCGAACUUUGUUCGGCUACUUGUUCUUGUCCUUGAAGUUCAUCAAUUUCUCUGGCACGAAACUCAUAGGGCAGGAAUUAGGUUCUAUUAAUUUUAGAAAAAUCAAGUAUGAUCGCUUUGCUAUGCUUGCCAUGCCCUUUCUCAAUAGAGAGAAGUGCAUAUUUCAACCUUGAACUUUUGCCCUAAUCUAAUUUACAACCCCGAACUUCAAUACCGUCUAAAUUACAACCCCCAACUCUCAAAACUGGCUAGGAUUCAACCCUCCCCUCUCUGUUGACCUGUUUUGACCUGGUUGACCGGUUUUGAUCAGUCAACAGGUCCAAUCAGCAUGCCACAUCAGCCAAAAAUGCAAAAUUUCCAAGGAAACAAUCGGUAAAAUCGAAGAAAAUCCAGGAAAAGAAAUAAGAAAUCCAAUUUCUGAAAAACAGGGAAAAUAAAAAAAGAUUUUCCAAAAAAAUUCCAGAAAAAACCCAAAACCUCAAAUUCCUGAUAAAAGUAUUUCCAGAAAAAACCCCAAAAAAAUCAUUUUUUCUAUUUUCCCUAGCUUUUUUCAUGAAUUUUUUUUCGAAAUUUUGCUUUUUCAUAUUUUUUCCUGAUCUUGUAGAUUUUUAUUUACUUUUUCUUGAAAUUUUGAAAAAAGAAUCUAACGUGGCAUGCUGAUUGGACCCGUUGACUAGUCAAAACUGGUCACCCCAGGUCAAAACCGGUCAACAGGGAGGGGAGGGUUGAAUCCUGACCGGUUUUGAGACUUGAGGGUUGUAAUUUAGACGGUAUUGAAGUUCGGGGUUGUAAAUUAGACUAGGGCAAGAGUUCGGGGUUGAAAUAUGCACUUCUCUCUUCUCAAUAAUGCUUGCCUCUUUGCAUUUGAUGGAUUCAGAAUAUAUACUUCUUGAUUCGGCUUUUUCAACCGAAGCACUUUCAUGUCCUGAGUCAUCUUUCUUUACAUUGAUUCUAUUAAUUGGCAAUGCUUCUUUUACUUGAGCCAAUUCUGUAUUUUUUUGUUUCUGGCAGCGAGCGGCAAAAUUGGCUUUAAUUUUUUUUCUCAACUUCAGCCCAGUUCGGAUACGAUUGCCCCCAAUGCUUUUAGAUUCUUUCGGCAAUGGCACAUGGCUGUUACCGAAACUUUGCAAUUAUGUAGGGGGUGUAUAAUAUGAUGUAGUACUAGGUGAAGGCACAUGCAUUGUUGUAGAACUAUAUUUUUGCUCGCCAAUUUUAUCAAUUGGCAAAGAUUCAUCUUCUUGCAUAACUCUAGCCUUUAUUGCAGCAUAAUUAGGAAACAACCCCUUCUCAUAUUGUUCAAGGCAAAGAGCACUAAUCCUCUUGUUUUGUGCCAAACUCUUUUUUAAUGCAGCCAUAACGGCUUCUGGAAGGGAUUGCUCCGCAAUACUUUCAGAUUCUUUGGGCAACGAUUCAUGAGUGUUGCCGAAGUUCAUGAACUGUGUAUAGUAUGCAUUAUACGCUGCAGUAUUUGAUGACGGCACAUGUGUUCCUGUAAAAUUUUCAAUUAUUUGGCCAUGACCAUGAAGAUGCGGGGCCGAAUUAUGAGCAUCUACAGUUGCAUACGAUGCUGAAAAAUUACUAACAUGAGGUGUAGCAUAUGAUGGUUGAGAGUAACUGGUCGAAUAACUAGUAGUAGCAUGGCCAAUUCUCCCAUCCAUCGGUAAGGUUGGAUUCACAUAUUGCAAAUUAGUUGCCGAUGAAUAAAAGGGUGAAACACUUUCUUGUAUGCUACCGGAAAUUUUAACAUGGGAUGUUUCAAAUUGAUUAACCAAACCCAUCAUGUUGUUCAUCGGCAUAACUAUUGCUGGGGUUGCCGAUGCAUGAGAAUUGGAGUACAUACGGUGUAUGUUACUAGUAUCAUAAGAAGUUGAGGCAUGUAAAUUACUUUGACUCGGCCUAUGCACGUAAUUAGAUGCAUUAUUGAAAAAACUAGGGCUGGCCGAUAAAGUAUACUCAUUGAACGAUUUAGUAACACCAUAUAAAUUAUUUGCAUCUACAAUAGGGAAUUGGGUAUUUAUGUUACUUUUGUAGAUUGCAAACCCUAGAUGACGAUCUCUUCAUAGCAAGAACAGGCCGGAGACUGUUCAAAGCUUCUUCCCCAGUGGAGUCGCCAAAAAGUGUGUCGACACACAAACACGUCACGUGUAUCCUCGAUGCCGGGUGUGAUGCACCACAGCUCACGUCGAAAGGAGACCCGACCGACAUCGCGAUACACAAGACAGUUGACGGGCGCUUUUGUAGACCUGAAGCCCCACUUACCCGGGAGGGACCCCGUCAGGGCUUGCGGCGGCUAUGGGCUGCUCCAGGUCGAUUCGCUCGCCCCUAGAGCCUCAUGGAUCCGCAGCCCUCCGGCAUGAAGAACUAGCGAAGAACAAGAAGAAAGAUACAAGGGGGAAAUAAAAAGUAGAUGAAUAUAAAAAAGUAAUAGAUGUGUUUGUUCGAUUGUGUGUUGUUUCAAUCGGCCGUCAUCCCUAACAUAUAUAAGAGGCGGCUGGACUUCCCGUACAAGCAAAUGAUCCAUCUAGGAUUUCCUUUCAAGAAAAUUAGAUCAAUUCACGUCCUACAGUUCUAGUUUUAGUCCAACUCGGAUUCAGCCCGAAUCUGUCCCAUAUUUCUGUCCCGCUUCUUGCGCGGGCAGUAGAAAUCGCAUACUAAGUCGGAUGGAGUCGAGUUCAACAUAAAAAUUAUCCGCCUCGAUGAUCUGCAUAAGACAACGUGUGCCACUUCUUCUUUUACGACCAUCUUUAUGACUUUCAGGACCUAUCUUUAAAUACGGGUCGGAUUCAAUUAUGCAGUUUUCUGAACUGUCCGAGUCUUAUAACAAUUAUGCAGACUAUAUACUAUCUUCGAUGAUGAUGACUCCAAAAGAAAAGUUGACCGUUUAUAUAAUACACACAACUUCCGUGUAGAACACAUUUCCAUACGAGGCCAUCUGAAUAAACAUUCGAGCCCAUCUCCAACUUUUGGUCGGAUUGACUUUGACAGUCUCCACCCCGACAAGCUUUCCACCCCGGCAAGCUUUCCACACUGGCAAGGUUUCUACCCUGGCAAGCUUUCACCCCGGCAAGGUUUUCACCCCGGCAAGGUUUCUACCCCGACAAGCUUUCACCCCGGCAAGGUUUCCACCCUGGCAAGGUUUCUACCUCGGCAAGCUUUCACACCGGCAAGCUUCCACGCCGGCAAGAUCUCCACCCCGGCAAGCUUUCCACGCCGGCAAGGUCUCCAUCCCGGCAAGCUUCAUUCAGCCGGCAAAGGCCGAAUAACUCACGCGACCCAUCAGACACCACCUAGGUGGGUGUCUGGUCCCUCGCGUCACUUUUUCACUCAGGACUGGUCCAUGAAGUUUUGCCUCUAACUUUUGCGUAUGAACUCGAAUUGGGACAAUUUUUAUAUUGAAAUCAAUUGGUUCGGCGAGACGAAGACAAUUCAUGUAGAUCAUUUUUUCAUAUGAGGUCGCCUUGGGGGCUUAAUCGACCAAACUGUACUCUGAAUAUAAGAUCUUGGUACUUUGAGCAUAGUUUCGGCCUUUGAGAUGAAAUCGGACGACGAUGACCCAAACUUCAAAGAUGUUCAUAUCAACAAUACGGAACUCCUUCAUGUAGAUCACUUCUCCAUUUAAGGUCAUCUUAAAUAAGUUCUUGACCAUGCCAAAAUCGGGUGUCAACAAUAAUGCCCCUCUAAAAAAUGGUAUGCGUGAUUAUAAUUUUAAUUCAAUUACAUAUGAUCGAUACAUCAUUAUAUCUACUAUUAAAGAGGAGUAUGUAGGUUGUCUCGUCCGCUUCCCUUUCUUCCAAUCAUUUCAUUCGUUUCAUCUCCACCUUCCCACCUCGCAUGCACCGUUCAUUUUUUUUUCUAUUCCGGGUUGAUCCGUCCUCACAAGCUCCUCAUGUCCCUACCUCUCUCCGUUAUGUCUUGGACUCCCCUCGCACGGAGGGUUCCUCUAUUGUGGAGGUUGCGCCGCCACUGCAAAAUUCGUCCUCCCAUGCUCAACAUACAAUCCCUUUCAUGGUGGUGGUGGAUCGACUCUCACGGCAUUACAUUACACAGGUGUCCAGCGCCUGCAAGCGCUCAAAUACGAGCCUCCUCCUUUAUCCUAGCAGUGAGCAUGGCCACCGUGGUAGCGACAUUCGGAAUAUUCAUUUUCGCGAUAAGUAUUUUAGAACGGAGGGAGUAGCAGAGAUGACAUAUAAUGGCACCGAUAGAGAAUUCGUGCACGCGCAAGGAAUUUGGUGGGUGAAACGGACGUGCACCCCAGCUCGAGGCACCAGCGGAGACCACGUACCGAACCGCAAAGCCAAACCAAUACCAGUCAGUCGGUCACGCCGCUUAUCCAGCGGCACGUCCCACAGAAAAUCAUGCCCAGUUGCGGAGUUGCCCACAGUACACACAUCCGUCGCUCUCCCACCAAACAUCAACCGUGGAGGUAGCAAAAGAAGGCACGAGAGAAGAAAAGAAGGCACGAGAAAAUAGCCAUCUACACACCGGGCCAGAGGAAGAUACAAUCUGAAUCUAUGCACGCCGUGCUAGGAUCUGAAUAUACACUUUACAGUUUACACAGUGUGUAUGCGAUCUGGAUGGCUGAAUCAAAACCACAGUACCAGCACUAGCGAGAGGGAAGUAUAGGGAAGUGGUUUGGCAAUGCUUGACAUGUCCGGCUGCUUUUAGUCAACCAGGCCACCGAGGUUUCCAGGGGCCCUUGAAACGAAAUCAGCAGCAGCAGCCGGUAUCUCCCGGCGGUUGGUGAGCCCUCCGAAAAAACAGAGUAAUCAGACACCACCUGAUUUUCUUCUGUCUGAAAUGAAAUGAACAUCACAACCCUUUGCAUCCUCUCUCGUGUCAUCACUCGCUCUGUUCUUAAAUAUAAGUCUUUUUAGACAUUUCAAUACAAAUUGUUGAAUUAUUUGGGUGGGCCUAACCCAUCUAAUAAUUUUUAAAAAAAUCUUUAAAGACGCAUGUGGGUUAAAUGACACUAGGUGUGGUGGGGAAUUUAGUCCAACCCCACUAUUAGAGAAUUGGACCUUUUUAUAAGAGAUUCUCUUCCACAUUUUAUUAGAGUUUGAGAAUAUAAAAGGCCCUCGCGCACUUCUCCUUCGCCGCCCGCCCCGCCCCGCCGAAGCGGCACGGAACGAGCCGAGCUCAUAUCUAUGCAUUUAUUUUUACCGGUCAGGAACGAAGAGUCAUUGGCAGGUGGACCACGAUCUCAGAUGUCGCAGGAACGAGCCGAGUUCACAUCUAUGCGCUUAUUUUUGCCGGUCAGGAACGGAGAGUCAUUGAUAGGUAAACCACGAUAUGAGACGUCGGAUCGUGGGCUGUUACCGACUCGGAGCCCACGUCUCUCCACGUGGCUGCACAUAUAUAUGUGGAGCGUCUGCCAACCCUAGCCGUCAGGCGAAACAGAUCGCAUCUCUGCCUCCAUGCCCACGCCGUUCCAUUACUGUUGCUGCCGCCGGCCACUCCACCUUGUUCACCGCGUACACGGUUGACGGAAGAGCAGGUCUCCGAAACCCGCCUCCUCGGAUCCUGUAUGAGAGACAGACAAUUAGGUUUUUGGGAAGCAACUACGCGACUGCUCGCCUCUGUUCGUCUACUUCCUCUACGUUCGCGUCGCCUUCGUCAUCACCAUGUCCAUGGACGCCGAACAUGCCGCCGCCGAGAAACCCGAAGCCGACAGAAGGCCGCCAAGGACGCUGCUGCUGCGGCGGCGGCUUCUACCUGGCCUACUGGAGGGUAUAACUUGUUUAUCCCGCUCCUGUUGAUUUCUGUUUUAGCCAUUCUAGUGUUAUACAUAGAUGUGUCUGCAAUUAGCAUAGUACUAUGCGUUUGCAUGAUUGAAUAACAAUAUGUGUUUGCUUCUGUCAAUGCUAUGCUAGUGAUCUAUUUUUGGAUUAAAUUAAUAAAAAAAUUGCCUAUUUACUCAACACAAACUACGUAACGAUGUAUAUAGACAUAUUUUAGAGUGUAUAUUCACCCAUUUUACUCGUAUGUAGUGCAUAUUCAAAUCUCUAAAUUGACUCGUACUCCCUCCGUUCCUAAAUAUUUGCCUUUUUAGAGAUUUUAAAUGAACUAUCAUAUACAGAUGUAUAUAGACAUAUUUUAGAGUGUAGAUUCACUCAUUUUCGCUUCGUAUAUACUCCCUCCGUCCGCGAAUAAGUGUACUUCUAACUUUUGUCCUAAGUCAAAGUUUUAAAUUUUUGAUUAACUUUAUAGGAAAAAGUAACAACAUUUAUGGCAUUAAAUUAGUAUCACUAGAUCCGUUUCGAAAUGUACUUUCAUAAUAUAUACCAAUUUGAUGUCAUAUAUGUCAUUAUUUUUUUCUAUAAAGUUGGUCAAAAUUUGAAAAUUUUGACUUAGGACAAAAGAUAGAUGUACACUUAUUCAGAGACGGAGGGAGUAGUCACUUGUUAAAAUCUCAAGAAAGACAAAUAUUUAGGAACGGAGAGAGUAUUUAAGAAUGGAGGUAGUAGGUUGGUUGAACUGUGGCAAAUGUUCUGCUUUGAAGGUUAGCACAAAUGAGCAUCAGCAUGAUGACAAUCCCAUGGAUGCCACUAGCCCACUACUACUGAUCCACUACACCAGUAGCAGUACAAUUUAUAAUUCAGAAGAACUGAAGAAGUACCUCAAGAAGUUCAGUCUGCCUGCCCCCUGCGUCUCCGACCCCACUCACCUACCACCAACCACCCCAUCGCCUCCUUCCCUUCCACCACCGUAUAAAGUCGCUGAGCGCCACCAGCACCACCAGCUCCACCACCGUCUCCACCAACCCCAGAGCAGAGCAGAGCAGAAGCAGAGUCGCGGCAGCCACAAUGGACGUGGCGUCGCUGCUCCCGUUCGCCAUCGCGCUGGUGGCGAUCCCGAUCUCGCUGGCGCUGCUGGACCGGCUGCGGCUGGGGCGGCUGCCGCCGGGCCCGCGCCCGUGGCCGGUGGUGGGCAACCUGCGGCAGAUCAAGCCGGUGCGGUGCCGCUGCUUCCAGGAGUGGGCGGCGCGGUACGGGCCCAUCAUCUCCGUCUGGUUCGGCUCCUCGCUCACCGUCGUCGUCUCCACCUCCGAGCUGGCCAAGGAGGUGCUCAAGGAGCACGACCAGCAGCUCGCCGACCGGCCCCGCAACCGCUCCACCCAGCGCUUCAGCCGCAACGGCCAGGACCUCAUCUGGGCCGACUACGGCCCGCACUACAUCAAGGUGCGCAAGCUCUGCAACCUCGAGCUCUUCACCCAGAAGCGCCUCGAGGCGCUGCGCCCCAUCCGCGAGGACGAGGUCACCGCCAUGGUCGAGUCCGUCCACCGCGCCGCCGCCGGCCCCGGUAAGCUGCCAUCCCAGAUCGCACGCCCCUCUUCCUUUUCUUUUCCUUUUUUCCCUUUUUUUCCUCCACCGCACAUUUCGUAGACAGACAGGUGUGCGUGCGUGCCAUUUCGGAGAAAGCGGGGGUGGUUGCUGCAAAACAAAGAGAGGGAGGUAUCUUCUGUCUGAAGAAUCGUUAGGCGAGUGGAGGUGGUGUCCUCGUGUUUGGUGGGUUUGGUCGACCAAUUGCUCUGCUCUGUCGUGUUGACUAGGCAAAACGGUGCCGAACAUGAGUCUUGCAACCAAUCUUGAUUGUCUUCAGCACCAAAUUCGCAAUGGAUCGCAGGAACAGUGUCGUACUUUGCUAGAGUGCCGAUUUGGUGGUAUGGUAAACAGGGUUGAUCUGUUGAAAUGCCUCCAUGGGGUGCAUUCCUGUUGAGUGGCCACAUGUCAAGCGCGUUGCUAGAGUACUGAAUCGUUAAGAUAUGGAAUAAAUAAACGUAAAAUGUAGUGACACCAAUCAAUCAUCAUCGGUCAGCUCUAGUGUGUUGAGGAGCCUUGAGUUUAUUUUAUUUUUCCGCAGACUGGAUCUCAACACGAUCAUGGUGGUUGCACGUUAGUAUACAAGUAGGCUGCCCUUCACAUGAGGCUUAGUACACAUGGGGUUAGUAAUAGUAAUCUUGAUUCUACAUGCCGUUUAAGCUUCAGGCUAAGGCAGUUUGCUGCUUUCUGCAUUACUGUAAGUUCAGAUAAUUCGAUGCCACAAAUAGACCAUGACGCUACUCGAUCCCUUUAUCAGUAGAACAAUUUGUCUUAUUGUGUACUAGCGCCGAGCUGAGGAUCACCUGAAAAACUGUAUGACAUUUUGGCCUUCCAGUGAGUCAGUGUUAUGAUAAGCACACUCCUUGUGGUAAUGAGCCGUUUUUAAUGACACUAUGCUAUUUAAGGCUCAUGGCAUAAUACUUGUUUGGCCAAGCCGGAAAUCUUGACUUGACUAUCAUGGCCACACAAAUCAUAUAUAGAAUUAUAGAGUGCUAUUUUUAUCUUAUCUUGAAAUUUCACCCAUUCAACGGUUGUAGCUCUGUAUUGGCACAGAACUGAUGUAGUUUUGGUGUACAAUUUGGGAUAAAUUUAUAUGUUGUGAAUUUAGGAGCAGCUUACCUUGUACUGUUUGGCAACAAUACCCAUGUUUUAUCUGCCCAAAAAUCUUAUCUUGAUGUCCGACAGACGGAGCUUUUAUUAAUAGCAAUGGACAUAUACUGGUAUACGUACUAGAACGGAUCAGAUUGAUGAUAGCUUCAGGUGUGAGUUUGAUUGCAAUCAGUAUAGGCUUUAGUCCUUAGGCAGUGUUACUAUAGCAUUUGGGUUAUUGGUAUUUGAUUGAGAGCAGUUAGUCCUGACCGUUAUUCAUUAAGUUAACUGGUAUCACAAGUCCAAAAACUGGGAGUCCAAGUAUGUGAAAUGAUUUAUCAUGGUACUAGCACGACGACAUGUUAAGGAAUCUUUUUUCAGUACGCAAAGUGGAAUGCUUGGUGUGCAUUAGACAUAAAGAAGUGGCAACACAUCCUUCCUAUUACAUCUCACUGGUGGUCUCUGGUUCGUGGUCAGUGGCACACAUACAAAUUACAACUUACUUUCACUUAUUGUACUGUGCAUUAUGCUCCAAAUGCAUGGUGUCUCAUCAGGAAUAUGCUAGACUAAUUAAACGUCAUUUGAUGCCUCCCUCUGCCUCAACCCUGUUAUUUCAACCUUUUUAGGAAUAUUUCAAAAAAAAUUUCGCCCUUCUCUUUCUUCCAAAUACAUCUGGCAUCGCGUUAAUUUCAUAUUCAAUGUGUGUUUCAGUAUUAAUGUACUCCCUCCGUUCCUAAAUAUUUGUCUUUCUAGAUAUUUCAACAUUUUGCUCCGUAUGUAGUCACUUGUUGAAAUCUCUAGAAAGACAAAUAUUUAGGAACGGAGGGAGUAGGUAUAUAAGCAUAGCCUUCUCUCUGAUAACAUGUUAGUGUACUCUAGGAAUAUAAGCUAGCAGAUAUACAGAAGAAGAAGAAAAAUACAGGUUUAGCUUUAUUUUCUUGGGACAUUCUUUGUCAGUGAACGCAAACAUUUGUGCCUGGUGUGUGGGUUUGCUUGUGUUCAACUGGAUAUCCACAUGGAUCCUUUGCGCUAAUGUUUAGGUUUUUGCGGUUGCUGUGGAAAACACUAAUUGGUUUAUGCCCCUUACUUUUACGUUAUGUUAGGUUUUUGGUAUAAUUUAGAAGAGCAUUUAUUGUUCUAUUGUUUGCUCUUGCUGUUAAUUCAUGAGCCGGCCUCACAAAACGGAAAUAUGGCAUAUCCCACAUGACAUACACAAUGUAACGGUUUAUAUUACCUAAUCACUUUAAACCCUAAACUAGCUUGGGCUCUUUCCCAACAGUAUUGACUAUUGAGUUUUAAAUUAACUAUUAAUAUAUUUUUUCAGGUAAUGAAGGAAAGCCAUUGGUAGUGAGGAAUCACCUUGCUAUGGUGUCCUUCAACAAUAUAACAAGGCUAGCUUUUGGGAAGCGGUUCAUGAAUGCAGAUGGUGACAUUGACGAAGAAGGGCAGGAAUUCAAGCUUAUUGUCAACAAUGGGAUCAAAAUUGGUGCAUCUCUUUCUGUUGCUGAAUACAUUUGGUACUUGAGAUGGCUGUGUCCACUUAAUGAGGAGCUUUACAAUACCCACAAUGAGAGAAGGGAUCGUCUGACCAAGAAGAUCAUUGAAGAGCAUGCACAGGCCCUCAGGGAGAGUGGUGCCAAACAGCACUUUGUGGAUGCUCUGUUCACUCUCAGAGAGAAGUAUGACCUUAGUGAUGACACAGUUUUCGGACUUCUAUGGGUAUGUAGGAUGCCCCUUUAUAACUACGUAAUUUAUCUUCUUAUAUUCCAUUCUCCUGUUUGUUUCAAAUGAGAUCCCCUGCUAAUUUUUAAUGUCGAAUGGGAUAGCAAUGGAUAGUAAUGUCUAAUUUAUCUUCGUAGUUCUUCCAUUCUUCGCACAAAUGCUACAUAAUAGCUUUCAUUAAAUUGAUUUAUUUAUGGAUCAAGAGAAAUCUCAUUAAGUUUAGUUAGAUUCAGUAGGUAAAUUUAGGUGAGACGCCACUAUCUCAAGGUUGUUGUAAGAUGCUGGGAUUGGAAAAUGUAUGUUUACUUUCGAGUUGGAAAUUAGGUAGUGCUUUAUCGUUACAAUCAUUCAACUACCAAAAAUGCUUUGCAAGAGUCUGCAGGCUACUCAGCUACUCCCUCCGUAUCAAAAUAUAAGACGUUUUUUGACACUAUCAGUGUCAAAAAACAUAUAUUUUGAUACGGAGGGAGUAUUAUUAAAAAAAAUCAUUGGAUGCCUCUUCAUAUUUCUAUCUUGCACAUGCCAAACUUAAUAAACUUGUUCAUACCGGUAAAUCAAUACCUUAGAAGUACACAAUAUAUGCUAUUUACUGAACUUCAAGCCUGGUAAUCUCAUUUGGCUUUUUAUACGUUCUUAGCUCUUACCAAGUACCAUCCCCUUCUUAUGUUCAGGACAUGAUCACCGCCGGAAUGGACACGACAGUCAUAUCAGUCGAAUGGGCCAUGGCAGAGCUGGUCCGGAACCCCAGGGUGCAGAAGAAGCUGCAAGAGGAGCUGGACAGCGUGGUCGGCCGCGACCGCGUCAUGUCCGAGACCGACUUCCAGAACCUGCCCUACCUGAUGGCCGUCGUGAAGGAGUCCCUCCGCCUGCACCCGCCGACGCCGCUCAUGCUGCCCCACAAGGCCAGCGCGAGCGUCAAGGUCGGCGGCUACAGCAUCCCCAAGGGCGCCAACGUGAUGGUGAACGUGUGGGCGGUGGCCCGGGACCCCAAGGUGUGGAGCAGCCCGCUGGAGUUCCGGCCGGAGCGGUUCCUGGAGGAGAGCAUCGACAUCAAGGGCAGUGACUUCAGGGUGCUGCCCUUCGGCGCCGGCCGGAGGGUGUGCCCCGGCGCGCAGCUCGGGAUCAACCUCGUCGCCUCCAUGAUCGGCCACAUGCUGCACCACUUCGAGUGGUCUCUGCCGGAGGGCGCCAGGCCGGAGGACAUCAGCAUGAUGGAGUCCCCCGGGCUCGUCACCUUCAUGGGCACGCCGCUGCAGGCCGUCGCCACGCCGCGCCUGGAGAAUGAGGAGCUCUACAAGAGGGUCCCGGUCGAGAUCUGAGCGGCCUGUGCUGCUUUGCUUGGGGUGUUGCGCUGCUUUCAGCUAGGUGCUGGAUGGAGCUCGUGUUGUUGUAAAUCGUGAGGUGUUUGACUGCCUUUUGAAUGAAUCUCAUAAAGCGACGAGGGCAGAUCGCAGAUCAUUUCUCCCUUUAUUAGGUGUUCCUUCGGAUAUAAUAGUUUUGUUUUUAUGUUAAUAACAGUUUAACACAGCAAAUCAUUCUAGACAAUGUAUUUCUCCACAUAAUAUAUCUCUUCUGGACUGAAAUUCGGCACUGAUUGCACAUUUUAGGCCCUGCUAAGAAACUUUGGAAACCUGAGGUUUGUUUUGUUGUUCAUGGGCCCAUUCCAUUUCAAUUUCGUUUUCUUCUCUCACGGUAAUGUUUAUCGUUGUCCCCCAAGGAUGUGUUUUGUUGGGAAUCAAGUGUAAUGAAUGCUGUGUUCAGAUGUCUGUAUUGAGGUCCCGAAUUGGAUUUGGAUUUGGAUUUUCCCAAACCCCCUCCCACCGCGGCGCCAGGCACAUCUCCUCGCUGCAGGAUUCGAACCUAGGUCCUUCACAAUAAGCACAGCCGCAAUAACCAGCUAGGCAACCGGGCCUCUAGUGUAAAGUAAGUAUUUUUAUACUUGAAAUACAACACUGGAAAAGCCCAACAUUUUCUGGUUGUCUUUUUCAUUUCUUUUUUGUUUCUUAAAUGCGUGAAGUUCUUAUAAUUCGUGAUUUUUAAAUCGAAAAUGAUGACAAAAUUUCAAAUUCUUGAUUUUUUUUUCAAAUCAGUGAACUUUCUUUCCCCAAAAUUGAUCAGUUUUCUUCACAAAUUCAUGAACUAUUUCGCAAGUUGGCAAUUUGUUUUUGAAAAUUGUUGGUCUUUUUUAUAAAUUGAUGAACUUUGUUUCUAAAUCAAUGGAUUUUUUAAAUUUUGUUAAUUUUUUUCCAAAUCAAUGAACUUAAUUUGAAUUAUUGAUGAACUUUUUUCAAAAUCAAUAAAAGAAAAGAAAAACAAAAUAAUAUAGAAACCCAUGUAAAAACUGAAGAAAAAACCAGCCUAGUUGAAAAGGAAAACCAGAGUCUUUCUUUUUAGCGUUAUAUUUGACGCACUACAAAAGAUGAAAAAAGGAAACUUAGACCAUGAUCAACGGAGGUAUUCGAGUAGGCGAGAUGGCUCCGUCUAAGAGCACGUCGUUUCCCGACAUGCUUGAAAUGGCCCCAAUUUUUUUCAUGCCUUGUAUGACCAAUUCAAGGCACCAUGCCAAGUUGUUUUGGUUUUCGACAAAUUUUACAUUUUUCGUAGUUUUCUCGGUAAAAAAAUGCUCGAUAAUGGGAGGUCAUGUCGCAACUUGCAUACGGUGUUAGAAAUCGUACAAACCUGGCAUGGAUGACUACCAUGGUCAUGCCCACCUGCUUGAAAAGGUUGGGAUCAUUUUAAGAAUGUCCAAAAGUAACCCAUGUUUAAUGAAGGGGUGUUCAGGUUGGCUAGAAGGCUCUACCUGAGGGUGCGUUGUUUCUCGAUAUUCUUCUAAAGGCCUAAUUUUUCCACCUACUUCUAUGAUCAAAUCAAGGCACCAUGUCAAGCUGUUUAAGUUUUCUACAAUUCUUUCAAUUUCUAGAGUUUUCUUGGUGAAAGCAAGCUGAUAAAAUGACCGGACGUGACAGAACAUGCAUAUGUUGUGGGAAAUUCAUUUAAACCUGGCAUGGAUGCCUACCAUGAACAUGCAUAGGUUGAUUUCAUGCAUGUUCAAAAAUAGAUCAUGUUCAACAAAGGGUGUUCGGGUAGGCGAGAAGGGUCCAUUUCUUCAUCUUUUUUGGUGAGAAAAUUGGGCCAUUUCAAAUAUGUUGAAAAAUAACAUGCUCUCAGAUGAACCGUUCUGACCUUACCGAAUAAUCUCCAUUGAACAUGGUGUUUUUUGGACAUCCUUGAAAUGACCCCAACUAAUAAAUACAAAGGGAUAAAAUUGAAAACAGUAAGUGUUUUUUAAAACAUUUAAUAAAUAUUUUAUAUUUUUAUUAAAUCACUAGUUUAAAAGGUUAGUUACAACUUGUAUUUUGGUAUUCAAAAAAGAGAAAAAUGAGUUAACAAAAUAAGAAAUCAAAUGAAAAAACAGAAAAUAAAAUAAAACGCUUAGGCCUUGGCCCAACUAGGCGACGACAUUGCUCUCGUCGGGCACGUGUUGGGCCGGUCCAAGAGCUCCAUGGAUUUGAAUAUUUUCACAAAAAAUCGAAAUAAAGUUCACUAUGAAAUUUGCAAAAAAGUUUUCUCGGUCUUGGGAACCUCGGGUUCCCAGCCAUUUUUUCCUGUUUUGGGACCUUCUCGGAGGUCGUGAACCAUGUUUUUCUUUUUCUUUUUGUCUUCUCUUGUGUUUAUUUGUUUGUCUUCUUAGACUUUUCGUUUAUUAUGUUUAUUUUUUAUAUUUCUCAUAUUUUUUUUUUCAGAAUUCAAAUUUUGUUCAUAUUUUUCUUUCUUUUCUAGAAUUCCAUUUUUUUUUACUUUUUUCAAAAAAUGUUCGUGUUCGAAUUUUUUUAUUUUUUUAAAAAACUGUUCGUAUUUUGACAUUCUGAGCAUGUUUGAAAGGCAUGAACAUUUGUUUUGAAAUUUAUGUACAAUUUUUAAAAAUACAAAUAUUAGUAUUUUAUGAACAAAACAGGAAAACUAGAAACCCUAAAGAAAACCGUGCAAAAAAAAAGAGACAUAAACUAAAGAGUGGAGGUGCUGUGUUUUUUUAUUGGGCACAAGAAGUGGAAAACAAGCCAAGACAGCAAAUUUGAUGUGCUGUCCCGGAUGGUUUGUGCGGCUACACGUAGCGCGUGGGGGCUGUGGUUCGAAUCCAGCCGAUGGCAUCUAUUUUUUGACAAUUAAAACUAAAAAAACGUAAAUGGGCUGAGCCUGUGGUUCGAAUCCAGCCGACGGCAUCUAUUUUUUGACAAUUAAAACUAAAAAAACGUAAAUGGGCUGAGCCCAUCAGGGAUGGCUGUUCGUCGGGUAUUAUAAGAACCUGCAGCGUAUAUACGUUCUAUGUGAGCAGUUUUAAGAUGGUCCCUCUUACCCCCGCUUUUCACAUGAGAGGUAAGAGUAUAAAAUAGAUCUGAGCCAUUGAUCUCAUUAAUUAAUGGCCUGAUUAACUCUUACCUUCUUACCUCACAUGUAAAAAGAGGAGGUAAGAGGGACCAUGCUAAAAUUUGCCGUUCUAUGUAGGAAAGUGAAUACAAUUUGUGAAAAAUCCAUACUACCCUUUAUACGUUUUAUGAGNNNNNNNNNNGUACCGAAGCACUUCUCAUAUAUUAAUAUCAAGCAGAUAGCAAUCACACUCAGCCUCUGCACUAACAAGAUGUCUAAAAACAUCUAGGAUGCACAAUGUGGAUCUAAUAUGGGUCUUACAACAUAUAAUACAUAGUUUCAAAGGUGUUACACCAUUGUGUUGUCGAUGGCAUCUAUUUUUUGACAAUUAAAACUAAAAAAACGUAAAUGGGCUGAGCCUGUGGUUCGAAUCCAGCCGACGGCAUCUAUUUUUUGACAAUUAAAACUAAAAAAACGUAAAUGGGCUGAGCCCAUCAGGGAUGGCUGUUCGUCGGGUAUUAUAAGAACCUGCAGCGUAUAUACGUUCUAUGUGAGCAGUUUUAAGAUGGUCCCUCUUACCCCCGCUUUUCACAUGAGAGGUAAGAGUAUAAAAUAGAUCUGAGCCAUUGAUCUCAUUAAUUAAUGGCCUGAUUAACUCUUACCUUCUUACCUCACAUGUAAAAAGAGGAGGUAAGAGGGACCAUGCUAAAAUUUGCCGUUCUAUGUAGGAAAGUGAAUACAAUUUGUGAAAAAUCCAUACUACCCUUUAUACGUUUUAUGAGGGGGGGGGGGAGGGGGGGUGUACCGAAGCACUUCUCAUAUAUUAAUAUCAAGUAGAUAGCAAUCACACUCAGCCUCUGCACUAACAAGAUGUCUAAAAACAUCUAGGAUGCACAAUGUGGAUCUAAUAUGGGUCUUACAACAUAUAAUACAUAGUUUCAAAGGUGUUACACCAUUGUGUUGUCGAAUGCGUGACACAAAGAUGAAAGAUCAGAAGCGAAUCACUUGCACCUACAAUUUUUUGGCACGCAUGCAACGUACCAGGCACAAACAAAGGACUACGACACAAGCACCAGGCAACUCAACACGCAUGUACAAUGCACAAAAUACAGAAACUUGCAUUGUCUUGGCUACUAUCUAAUACCAAGGCGAGUCAGGGACUGCGGUGAUGACGCUCUUGACCUGCAUGUACUUGUCGAUGGCCAUCAUCCCCUGGUCCCGGCCGAACCCGCUCAUCUUGUACCCGCCGAAGGGCGCCUCGGGGUCGAAGGCGAAGUAGCAGUUCACCCACACGGUCCCCGCGCGAACCGACCUCGACACCCGGUUGGCGAUGUCCAGGUUCUUGGUGAUUAUCCCGGCGGCCAGCCCGUACUUGGUGCAGUUGGCCUUCUCUAUCGCCUCAUCGACCGUCCUGCAGAGUGCAGACACAACCGGGCAAAAGGGCACUUGGUCAGACAGACACUAGAAGGACAUGAUUCAAGAACCAGUUUAGUUUCCGUCAGGUGACAUUGUGAAAGCUUUGGCGUACUUGAACUUCAUGAGGGACAUCACAGGGCCGAAGAUCUCGUCUUGGGCGAUCUUCAUGUCCUCCUGUGGAAGCCAUGUACGUGAGCAUGUGAUAGUGUCAAACCGUCAAUCCGUGUAAAUGCAUGUGAUCGAUGUACAAUUGUUUUUCCCUUGUGUGAGUAAUAUGAUGUGCACACUUUCUUUCUUGUGCAUCUGUCUAGAAGUUAAAAUUACCUUGACAUCUGCAAAUAUGGUAGGCUCAAUGUAGUAUCCUUUGUCGCCGAAAGGUUUACCGCCGGUGAGCAGAGUCGCCCCCUCGCUCUUGCCAUGCUCAAUGUACCUCAGGACCCUCUCAAAUUGCACCUUAUCAACCUAGAUUCAAGCAAAGCAAUGGUUGAAUUAAUCAUAUGUGAACCUAGGAGUAGUUUUUUGGCGCGUUUUCCACGAAUUUGAGCAUGGCUAAUCAAGAAUGAAGGCAUAAAUGUUACCUGGGGACCCAUGUUGGUGGCGACAUCGAACGGGUCUCCGACUUUCCAGUUCUGGGCGGCCACCACGGCCUUCUUCACGAACUCGUCGUAGAUCCCUUCCUGAACAUAAACACGAGACCCCGCGACGCAAACCUCUCCCUAGAAGUUCAGAUUCAGAUAGCAGUAUAUAUUAUAUGGUCAGUGUCUGCCUUUUGCUCUGUGGAAUUGUUUACUCUUGGUAAUUCUAUCGGUCUGUGAAGAGAAUGACAUCUAUUGGAGUACCUUGUUGAAGAAGAUGGCAAGCCUCGAGAGCUCGACCGCCAUGUCAACGUCGGCGUCGUCGAAGAUUAUCAGAGGCGACUUGCCGCCGAGCUCAAGCGACACCGUCUUCAGGUUGCUCCGUGCAGAUGCCUCCAUGAUGAGGCGGCCCACUUCACCAGAGCCAGUGAAGGCAACCUGAUCGAUGUGGUGGUAGAAUUAUCUUUCAUUAGGAUAUUGUAAAGUGUAAACAGAGCAGAAAUGCAUGGCACGGAGCAAGUAAUGAUCAUUUGUGCACUGCUCACGCUGUCAACGUCCAUGUGGGAGGCGAUGGCGGCGCCGGCCGUCGGGCCGAAGCCAGGGACGACGUUGAUCACUCCGCCCGGAAUGCCAGCCUGAAACAUGCAUGAUCAUUGGGCAGGUUGAGUUUUGCUAGUUCACAUCGACAGUGUUUGGAAUGGAAGGGCGUUAGCUUGCAGAGUCGAGACGAGAUCCAUUAAUUACCAGCUUUGCAAGGUGCGCAUAGUAGAGGGCGGAGAGGGGCGUCUGCUCGGCGGGCUUGACGACGACGGUGCAUCCGGCCGCGAGCGCCGGGCUGAUCUUGAGGAAGAACAUGAGGCUGGGGAAGUUCCAGGGGAUGAUGAUGCCGACGACCCCGAUGGGCUCCUUGAGGGUGUACCCCUGGUACUUGCCGGACACGCGCAGCGACUCGCCGUGGAUCUUGUCGGCGGCGCCGGCGUAGUAGCGCAGCAUGUGCACCGCCGCAGGGAUGUCGAUGAUCUUGCCCAGCAGCAGCAGCUUGCCGGCGUCGGCGCCGUCCAGCGCCGCCAGCUCCUCGGUGUGUUGCUCCAUCAGGUCGGCCAGCUUGUGCAUGGCCCUGCCCCUCUCCUGCAUGCAUGGAUGGACGCCGGCGACCAGUGAGUUGCCAGGCAAUUUGUCGGAUGAGCUACAACGACAGGGCCGGAUUACGUACGUAGCCUGACAUGCGGGGCCACUUGCCGUGCUCGAAGGCCUCCCUGGCGGCGCCGACGGCGAGGUCCACGUCGGCCUUGUCCGCCUCUGCGACGUGGGCCAGCACGUCGCCUGUCCGUGGGUCCCUCGUCUCGAACGUCUUGCCUGAAAAACGUCGAAAUCCAGCAGCAAAUCACGUCGGUAUUUCUCCCUCGUUUGUGGCCACCCGCCGCCAGCGUCGACCGGUAGCCCUCUGUCGACCGGUAGGCGGUAGCAGUGGCAGUAGCAUGCAUAAUAUUCUGUUCUAGCCAUGAAUUAUCUACUACUCCCUCCGUUUCUAAAUAUUUGUCUUUCUAGAGAUUUCAACAAGUGACUACAUACGGAGCAAAAUGAGUGAAUCUACACUCUAAAAUAUGUCUAUAUACAUCCCUAUGUGGUCACUUGUUGAAAUCUCUAGAAAGACAAAUAUUUAAGAACGGAGGGAAUAGAAUUAAUCAUGAACUUGCCUAAUAUUCCAACAACAUGCAUACACAAACAUCCAGUGGCGGCAAUUAGAAAUCAAAGAGAUAGAAUGCCAUGUCGCAAUAAUUCUGCAAAUUAUGGGAUGAUGUGUACAUCUGCUUCCGUCGAAUCUCGUGAACGUUUUUUAAAGCAAAGAAUCUCGUGAACAUGACAGAGACAACUUUUGGCCUGAACGAUGGAGAGAGCAAGCAAGCGAUAUUUCACAAGCAAAGUCAUAGGUUUCUGGGCUUCAUCCGCAAGGAUAUUAGGCAAGUUGGUCCGUAUCAGUGACAGCGAGUAGAAUACAUUUGCAAAGUCAAGAAAGACAUGUGUCCCUCCUCGUGGCGUUCACUGUACCAAGGGAGGCAGAGGGGAAGGAGAAAAUUAUAGUACGUCUUAACUUUAUUCUCCUUUUUAUUGCCUUUUGUUUUUCAACGGGUUAUUUCUCAUAUUUGUUUUGGCGGUAGCAACGGAAGAUGUCUCUAGCUAGCUACUACAGUUCCGAGAGAAUAUUCACACUGAUUUUUCCAUGACAAGUCAUUCAGUCCUCAGCAACAACGACCGGCGAACCAAGCCAAGCCACAAUCAAAUUUAAUUUCGGUUGUGUUUAUUCCCCGUCGUACGCGUUGAAGAAAUGUAAGUACGGGCGAUUGGUCGAACACACCAUGCAUUAUGAAGGCUAACUUGGUUCAGGCCAGGAAUAUCUAAAAAGUGGCUACAAAACAUUCACGAAAUCUAGCAUGCUGUACGUGCUUGCAUGAACUGUAUAUCCACAAAUUUUCGUCAGAGAAAUAUAUUGACAUAUAGUCUUCCCGCAAAAAAAUAAGAAUAAGAAACUACGAAGUCUUCCCGUAAAAUAAAACUAUAAAGCCAACUAUGGUUACUUUUUCCCGGAGUUGCCAGAAUGCAAAUGUAUUCAUGGAACUUAAGGUGAGCACACAAUACCGAGUCAUGUAGAUUUCGUACGGCCAGAAUCUCGUAAAGAACAAAAAGAAGAUAUUUCAUAGAGCUGGGGGAGCAUAUAUAGAUCCUUUAUCGAUACCAAGUUGAGCAGUUCGAACUGGCAAAGAAAACUCAUGUGUGGAAUUUAGCACCUCAGUUGGAUCACCUUGUUUGGGACGUACUGAUUACUAGUGCUAGAACACAAAGGAAUAGACGAUAUGUCAAUCUUAUCGACAUGCAUCUUCGUCGGCGAAGACGACAAAGGGAAGAUAUAGCCAGCAUAACACACAUGAAUCUUUUCACAUGCACAAACUAAUUGAUCAUGACGACGUACCCGAGGCGGCAUCGACGAACUCGCCGUUGAUGAAGAGCUUGGUGUGCUUGAUCUCCGGCACCACCGCCACCAUCUCGUUGCUCCCCAUUGCGAUGCGUGUCUCAGCUCAGCAACACAACCUUGAGUGGGUUGGCUCUGCCGGCCAAUCUUUCUGCUCCUCUCUACUGGAAGGUCCUGUGAGAACUAGAGUUUCUUAUGUAGAGAGAGCUAUGGUGUCUACGUUUUUGCCUUCGUUUUAGAACAGUCUGGCUACAGCUUAGAGAAGUGCUGGUGGGACUUGAAAACUCUCUUCUCCUCCACCUUGUAUGGCACCUAGCGCGUGGGGCGGAGACAGGGGGCGGCGAGCAGGGGAAGACUUGUUUUUGAGAUAGCAGCGGAAGACUUUCUGGUAUAUGUUAGUUUUUUUUUUCUUUUAGCGAAUGGUAUACGUUUUUUUUUGAUUGUGAUAACGUCCAAACGUUCUUUUUAUAUGGAGAGAUCCGAACGAUCNNNNNNNNNNNNNNNNNNNNNNNNNNNNNNNNNNNNNNNNNNNNNNNNNNNNNNNNNNNNNNNNNNNNNNNNNNNNNNNNNNNNNAGGCCACAAGCAUCUCUCUAAAAAAAAAAACCAGGCCACGAGCGCAUGUUUUCUGUUUUUUUUUUCUGUCCCCGCUCGAUCGCUAAAACCACCAAAACAUGUUUUUUCCCUCGUAUACUUUCUUCUCCUUUGAAAAAAAAAUUGCGUGCAAAGCAGGAUUUGAAUCUAAGACCACCGCUUUCAAUGCUAUCCCUAAUAACCAUAACCAACUGGACUAAUGAACCAUCUAUGAAUAUUCACCGAUUGACAUCUAAUUUGUAUACAUAUAACUAUGUUUGAAUUAACAGAAGUAGGACUGCUCAUGCUAGAUCUACCAGGCUACUUGUGCUAGAUUUAUCAGGUAAUGCACACCAAAAACUACCAGGCUACUCAUGCUAAAAUAUCAGGUUGUUAAAAAUGUUAAUGUCCAAGAUACCAUCAAUUUUGAACGUUAGUUUAUCGGGUCUGUCGCUCAAAAACUACCAUUUUGUUUACACAAAAAUUACAUAUGUAUAUUUCAAUACCCUUCUCCCUCGGUUCAAUGUUACCACAUGAGUUAUCCGGGGUGUUUUUCAACAGCUUUUUUCUCGAGUCAAAAAUAGUUACCAUGUCUGUUCUAAGCAAGUUAUCAGCUCUGUUGUGCUACGUUAUCAUGCUAGUAUACAUGUUUACNNNNNNNNNNNNNNNNNNNNNNNNNNNNNNNNNNNNNNNNNNNNNNNNNNNNNNNNNNNNNNNNNNNNNNNNNNNNNNNNNNNNNNNNNNNNNNNNNNNNNNNNNNNNNNNNNNNNNNNNNNNNNNNNNNNNNNNNNNNNNNNNNNNNNNNNNNNNNNNNNNNNNNNNNNNNNNNNNNNNNNNNNNNNNNNNNNNNNNNNNNNNNNNNNNNNNNNNNNNNNNNNNNNNNNNNNNNNNNNNNNNNNNNNNNNNNNNNNNNNNNNNNNNNNNNNNNNNNNNNNNNNNNNNNNNNNNNNNNNNNNNNNNNNNNNNNNNNNNNNNNNNNNNNNNNNNNNNNNNNNNNNNNNNNNNNNNNNNNNNNNNNNNNNNNNNNNNNNNNNNNNNNNNNNNNNNNNNNNNNNNNNNNNNNNNNNNNNNNNNNNNNNNNNNNNNNNNNNNNNNNNNNNNNNNNNNNNNNNNNNNNNNNNNNNNNNNNNNNNNNNNNNNNNNNNNNNNNNNNNNNNNNNNNNNNNNNNNNNNNNNNNNNNNNNNNNNNNNNNNNNNNNNNNNNNNNNNNNNNNNNNNNNNNNNNNNNNNNNNNNNNNNNNNNNNNNNNNNNNNNNNNNNNNNNNNNNNNNNNNNNNNNNNNNNNNNNNNNNNNNNNNNNNNNNNNNNNNNNNNNNNNNNNNNNNNNNNNNNNNNNNNNNNNNNNNNNNNNNNNNNNNNNNNNNNNNNNNNNNNNNNNNNNNNNNNNNNNNNNNNNNNNNNNNNNNNNNNNNNNNNNNNNNNNNNNNNNNNNNNNNNNNNNNNNNNNNNNNNNNNNNNNNNNNNNNNNNNNNNNNNNNNNNNNNNNNNNNNNNNNNNNNNNNNNNNNNNNNNNNNNNNNNNNNNNNNNNNNNNNNNNNNNNNNNNNNNNNNNNNNNNNNNNNNNNNNNNNNNNNNNNNNNNNNNNNNNNNNNNNNNNNNNNNNNNNNNNNNNNNNNNNNNNNNNNNNNNNNNNNNNNNNNNNNNNNNNNNNNNUCUGCGGUGUGUACAUUAUCACGUUACUUACACAUAAGUUACCAGGAUAUGCUUUCAACAACUUUCCCCCCGCCAAACUAAAAGUUACCAUGGUGUUUGUACCUAAGUUAUCAUCCCCAUUGUGCGCAAAUUAGCGUACUAUUUAAACAGAAUUUAUCGGGGUAUGUUUUCAGCAACCCCUGGAUCAAAAGUUACCGUGGUCUGUACAUAGGCUAUCAACUCUGUUGUGCUUAAGUUAUCAUGCUAGUUACACAAAAAGUUAUUGGUGAUAUGUUCUUAAAAAGUUAUUGGUGAAGUUACCAUUGAAGUCCAACGCCGAGCACAUGGUGAGGUCGGUCUGCUAGCCCCUCAUGCCGGCAGUGGAGGGUUGCAGCAACGGCUACUGGGCCUGCUUGGAGGAUACGUCACUAGGCUUAGUGAGCGCUAUUGGCGAAGCGUUUGGGCGCUCGUACCUGCAGGUGGCGGCAGCGCGAUGCAAUAGACGUGACGACAGCGCUUCGGGACUUGAGGAGGCCAAGGAGCACGAAUUCGAUGGCGCAGUGGUGCAGGGCGUCGGGGAAGAGCCAGAUCCGGAUGUGGAUGAGGUAGGGGAGGUCAGAGACGGCGCUGUAGACUGGGAGGGGCCAUGUAUCGAUACAUAGAAGGGUGGGUGGGGGAAGAGAAGGGAAGGAGCAAUGAGAAGGAAGUGGAGGGGAGGAGCAGGGGCAACAAGGAGGUCGACCAACAUUGCUGUCGAUGUUGCUCGUCGGUGGUGGCGAGGCUCGCUAGAGCAGCUGAGGGCGGCGAAUCUUGGCGCCAUCGUCGUCCAUGCCGACGUCGGUGCAUGGAUGUAUAUUUUGAUGACUUUGUUCUAGGUAAAAGUUACCAUCCCUACACUACUAGGGAAAACCCUAGUAGUAGCGCGGGUAAUUUCCUAGCAGUAGCGCGGGGGCCUGCGCUACUGCUAGGGUGCUACAGCUAACUUUUAGCAGUAGUGCGGGCGGUACCCGCGCUACUGCUACUUCUAGUAGUAGUAGCGCGGUUGACACCCGCGCUACUACUACUUAGUUGUAGCGCGGGUCAGGGCCCCGCGCUACUACUAACUAAUUAAGAAUUAAAAUAAAUAAAUUCCAUCCAUGGCAGCUGCUUCUGCUGGGCGUCAUCGUCCUCUCCAUCCAUGGCUGCUACUGGUCCUAGAGGGGAUGAAGUUGUCCACGGUGAUACACCUCUCCUUUGUUGCUGCUACAAAAAAAGAGACAAGGAUUAGAAGAGGAAGAGAGAGAGAUAGAGAGGAGUAGGUGCAGCAACUCACCGGUGGCCGCUGGAGUUGGAGCUGAAACCCUAGAUGACGCCAUGGAUGGCGCUCUGCCUGAUCUGGAAGAUGAAGAGAGAGAGAGAGAGAGAGAGAGAGAGAGAGAGAGAGAGAGAGAGAGAGAGAGGGAGAUUGAGAGGGGUAGGAAGAACAACUCGCCUAUGGUUGUGUCCAUGGCGGAUCUGGCUGCCGCCAUGGAUGGCGCUCUUCCUGAUCUCCCUCUCCUUCCAGCAUUAGAGAAGGAGGAGGAAGGAGGGGGAGGGGGCUGCGGUGGGUGUGGAGGUUGCCGGAUUGGGGGAGGCAUGAGGUGCGAGGCCGGUGGUGGUGGUGGAUGAGGAAGGGAAUCAUGGGUGGGAGGGAGAAACGGAAUGGGAGAGCCUACGAAGAGAGGGCGGAGAGUGAGAGAGAGAGAGAGGAGGGAUUCGACCAAGGAUAUGGAGACUUCACCUACCUUGUACUUAGUAGUAGCGAGGGGUAUAAACCUGCGCUACUACUAUCAACUUAGUAGUAGCACGGGUUCAUACCCCUCGCUAUUACUAUGGCAUGUCUCGGGGGGCACGGUAGAGACUGCUUAGUAGUAGUGAGGGUUAAAAACCCGCGCUACUACUAUCAACUUAGUAGCAGCAAGGGGUAAAAAACCACGCUACUAGUAAGUAGCAGCAGUGAGGGUUAUAAACCAGCGCUACUAGUAAGGGCCUGUCUAUAAGCUUUUCCCUAGUAGUGCUAGGCUAAGUAAGAUAUCAACUAUGUUAGGCGUAUAUUACCAUGUUAUUUGCACAGAUGUUAUCGGGGAUAUGCUUUUAAUAACUUUUUUCCUAGGUCAAAGUUACCGCGGUGUUUUUUAGCUAAGUUAUUAGGUCUAUGAUGCAUAUAUUAUCAUGCUAUUUACAUAUAAGUAGCCGAGAUAUGUUUUCAACUAAAAAAAUUCCCCGGUCAAAGUUAUCGUGGUGUUUGUACCUAAGUUAUCAGGUCCGGGAGCAUAUAUUAUCAUGCCAUUUACAUAGAAAUUAUCGGUGGUAUGUUCUCAUGAAAUUUUUUCGACGUGUCAAAGUUAUCAUGGUGUUAGUACCUAAGUUAUCACGUCCGGGUACCUAUAUCGUCAUGCUAUUUACACAAAACCAGUCGGCGAUAUGUUAUUGACAUCUUUUUCGCGGGUCAAAGUUACCGUGCUGUUUGUGCAUAAGUUAUCAAGUCCUGGAGCGUACAUUAUCAUGUUAUUUACACAGAAGUUGUCGGUGAUAUGUUCUCAACAACUUUUUUCCACGGGUCAAAAUUAUCGUGGUGUUUGUACCAAGUUAUUAGGCUCGGGAGCCUACAUCAUCAUGUUAUUUACACAAAAAGUUAUCGGUGGUAUAUUUUUUAACAUAUUUUUUCUAGGAUCAAAGUUUACAUGGUGUUUGUAUCCAAGUUAUCUGAUCCGGGAUUGUAUAUUAUCAUGCUAUUUAUACAGAAGUUAUCAGUAGAAUUUUACAACAAUUUUUUCAUGGGUCAAAUUUAUCGUGGUGUUUGUACCUAAGUUAUCAGGCACAGAAGUCUAUAUUAUCAUGGCAUUUACGCAAAAGUUAUCGGUUGUAUAUCUUUAACAUCUCCCCCCUCCCCCCAACCCCGGGUGAGAGUUAAGGUGGUGUUUGUACCUAAUUAUCAUGUCCGCAGUGCGUAUAUUACUAUGUGAUUUAUAUAUAAGUUACCGGGUAGUUUUCAAAACUUUUUUCCUAGUUCAAAGUUAUCGUGGUGUUUGUACCUAAAUUAUCAAGUCUUUUUUUCGAGAAGGGGGAAUGCCCCAGCCUCUGCAUCUGAGCGAUGCAUACGGCCCUCUUAUUAAGCAAGUAAAUAUGUUCCAAACAAAGUCUGAAAGUCUAGAAGUCUCCCAAAGACAAAAAAAGAGCUCACACAGAGCCAAAAGAGCUAGAAUACAAACUAGCGAAAUAAAGGACGCCACAACCGGCUGGCAAAACAGAGAGAUAGAUAAACUAAUUGCCUAUCCUAUUACAUGACCGCCAUCCAAACCGAUUGAAUAUAUCCCGAGCUACCAUCUCCCAGCGAAUAGAUCCAGUAACCAAAUGCUCCCUAGCCUCCGUCGGAGUGAGUAGCGACCACGAACGGAUCAAUGCCGUGGCUCGGAAGAUAACCUGCAAAAAAUGAAUACAUGAUAUCCCGUUAAAAACCAAAUCAUUUAUGCAAUUCCAUAUAGUCCACAGCAAGGCACAAACUCCUACAUGAAUAUGUCUCGCUAAGUCGGGCUCUAUCCCGUUAAGCCACGUCCCAAAUAACGUGUUGACAGAAUUCGGUGGAGUAAUAUUAAAAGUAAUAUGGAUCAUUCGCCAUAAAACUUUGGCUAGCGGGCAAUCAAGCAAAAGGUGUUUGAUCGUCUCAUCCCAAUCAUAAAAACUACACCUAGUAGGGCCUGUCCAAUUAUGCUUUGUCAAGUUGUCCUUGGUUAAAAUGACUUGUUUAUGGACAAACCACAUAAACACUUUUAUUUUCAAAGGAACUUUGACAUCUCAGCUUGGAUCUAGGAAUGAAGCUCGAAUUGAUAACAUCAAUAUACAUGGAUUUAACUGUGAAUACUCCAGACCUAGUAAGCUUCCAGCGUAAUUCAUCGAGUUGUUGAGAAAGCUGAACCUCCAUCAGUCUAUGUACUAGACGGAGCCAUUCUUCCCAACGAUUGCCCGCUAGCGAUCGUCUGAACUAAAUAUUAAGGGGGAUAGAUUGAAAUACCGUUGCAACGAACACCUCACGUCGUUGAACAAUAUGAUAUAAAGACGGGUAUUGAAUGGCUAAAGGUGUGUCUCCGAGCCAAGUAUCCUCCCAGAAACGUGUACCAGCACCGUUACCAAUAAUAAACUUUGUCUUAUUAAACAGAGAUAGUUUGACUUUCAUAAGUCCCUUCCAGAAAGGCGAGUCAGUCGGCCUUACUGUCACCUGAGACAAAGUUUUGGUCUAAAGAUACUUGCUAUGAAGGAUUUGCACCCACGUGGCAUCAGUCUCACUCGACAACUUCCACAACCACUUACUAAGAAGGCAUCUGUUUUUAACUUCAAGAUUCUCAAUACCAAGACCCCCUUGGUCUUUCGGUCUACAGAUGAUAUCCCAUUUAGCUAGGCGGUAUUUUCUUUUUAGUUCAUCACCUUGCCAAAAGAAUCGCGAUCGAUAAAAGUCCAGUCUUUUCCUGACUCCAACAGGGACUUCAAAGAACGAUAAUAGAAACAUAGGCAUACUCGUGAGAACCGAAUUUAUCAGAAUUAAUCGGCUUCCGUAUAACAUGAGCUUGCCCUUCCAGCAACUCAGUUUCUUUUCAAACCGGUCCUCGAUGCACUUCCAUUCUCUGUUUGUCAGCUUAUUGUGGUGGAUUGGUAUACCUAAGUACGUAAAAGGUA
This 65568-nucleotide long non-coding RNA is filed under the name Triticum aestivum (bread wheat). RNAcentral's name for it is "long non-coding RNA (TAES_LNC024678)". The stretch from base 5875 to 5961 matches the Rfam family "MIR1120/MIR1122 microRNA precursor family". Lineage: Eukaryota; Viridiplantae; Streptophyta; Magnoliopsida; Poales; Poaceae. The record is from RNAcentral.